GGGUAUUCUUGUUCAAUAGAUGUUUUGAUUUUGUGCUUCGAUUCUUUUUCUCAACCGAUUCUUUUGUUUGUUUGUUGUCAAAUCUUGUGAGGAUGGUGAUCUGUGUACAAUAAGCCGAUGCUCUGGAUGUAGAAAUAAUGAAGGAAGCAUGGUAAUGUGCACAGAGAUUGAAUUCUAAGGUCAUCAUGUCUGCUCUCUCUGAUGCCUUUCGGGGCUUUGAUUUGGGGGCCUGGAUCAGACCUACAUUUUUUUUUUUCUUUUCCUCAUCUUCGAAACACAUAAUUUUUUAGAUUCAAAUGAUACUGUUAUUUUUAUUUCGGAUGAGAUUUAUUUUUUUGUUUUUUUUGUUUUUGAAAAUGGGAAGACAAUGUAAUAUUUUGUUUUUGUUUUCAGAUUACUAAGUCUAAUCUGAAUUUGAAAAAAUCAACCCUAACACCAACCCAAUCCCACCUCUAACUAAAAAUCAACCCUACUCUAACCUAAUCCCAUCCCACCUCAAGAGUACCCGAUCUCAAUCCAACCUAACCUAACUUUACACUUAGGUUGAGUUGAUCGGAGGAGUGUACGAAUCAAAAUCUAUGCAUUUUUCUAUACGAUAUAAUUGUAAUUUGAUAUUAUAGUUAAAAUAAAAUAAAUAUUAUUAUCCAUGAUAAUACAAAUUAUAAAUAUGAUAAAGAUGUUAAAUCUGAUAGGUAGGGUCAGGUUAUUCACCUUUGUUUUUUAACUUAGAAUAUUAAUAUUUAAUAGUGUUAGAUAUUAGGUUGUUUUUUUUUUUUACUAUUUUAUUUUUAUUAAUUAUUAAAAAUAAAAAAAAUUAAUAUGUUAUUUUUUUAUUUUAAAAAAAAUCACAUAUUCUGAAAUUUUCUAUUUAAUAAAUAAUUUAUAAUAAGUAAUGAAAAACUGAAAAAAAAAUAAUUUAAAUUUUAAAAAUAAAUUAUUUUGAGCAAAAGUCAAAAAAACAAAUGUCACUUAAAUCUCAAAUUAAGUUUAAAUUAAAAAAAAACUUCAUUUUAAGUCAAAUUAAAUAUUAAAAAUGGUCAAUAAUUGAAUUAGACAAACCCAUCAAAUUACAACCUUAAAUAGAAUAUGGGAGUAUUUGGGUAUUGGUAUGACCCAGAUGUGUUUGAAUUUAUUUUAAUAUACAAGGCAUUUGGAAUAUGAUGCAUCAAUAUUAAUUUAACCUCUUUUUCUCAAUGAAAUAUUGGGGCUUUUUUGUGAGCAUGAAAUGCAGUGAAUGUGUACAAAAUUAUGUGUCAAGGUCAAUUUUAUUAUUUUUGUUGAAUAUAUGUUCCAAAACAUAAAAAUCAUGAUAAUUGAAAGGGAGGAAAUUCUUUUGAAAAUGUAGGGAGAAAGUAGUAUAUGUUUCCUCAAUUCUCUCUUUCAUUGAUUCCUUCUCCAUUUCUACCCCAUUUUCACAUAAGCUAUUAGUAUGCAUUUUCAAGGAGAGUUGUGGAAUGUCUUCUUGAACAUUUUUGCCAAUUUGUUACAAAAAGGGAGAAAAAUCAUAUUAAUUAUUGAAGGAAGGAGGUGGUUGCUAGUUUAUUUUGAUUUAUUUUGGUGCUUCUAUUUUGAUGAAUGCAUAGUCUUGAUGAAGAUUCAUGGCUUCAUCAAAAGUGAAAAUAUCUCGGGAAGGCCUUUAGGUGGGACGAUAUCUCAUUAAUCAAGUCAUAUCAUACAUUCCUUCAUAUAAUAUACUUUUGUGUAUGCAAUAUAUUACUAUUAUGGUCAUCUUAAUUGUCUCACAUGUUAUAUGGGUUGUUCAACAAUAACCAAAUUUGAUACAUGUUAUGUCUACAUGAUUUGAUCAUGUGCCCACGUGACUUGUUAUCUAAUUAAUAGUAAAGAAAAGCCUUUGGAAGGCCCUUAGGUGUAACCAUAGCUCAUUAAUCAAGCCACACCAUAUAUUUCUUCUUCUAAUGUGCUUUUAUGCAUGCAAUAUCUUACUAAUCCAACCAUCUUGGCUAUCAAAGUCUACCACAUUAUUUUCGCUCUCUAAUAGUGAUAAACUUGAUGCAUGCCUCCUCUACAUAAUUCCAUCUUGUGCUCACUUGACUUUAUCCAAUUGAAAGUCAAACAAGCCUUUGGAUGGUCCUUAGGUGUGAUAAUAUCUUUUUAAAAGUCAUACCAUAUAAUUUUCCUUCUAAUAUGCUUACUUUUGUUUAUGCAAUAUAUGGUUAAUCAUGUCAUGUUGGUUAUCUACUCCGUCAUCUUUGUUGUCUUAGUCUAGCACUAACCUAACCUUGAUACAUACGACAUUGCGUGCUCAUAUAACUUGUUGCAUAAUCAAAAGUCAAACAAAUCUUAGAAAAGUUAUUAAAUGUGAUAUAUAUCCAAUUUCUAAUGCACUUGCGUAUGUAACAAUAUUUUGUCAAUUAAGAGCAUGUUUGGGAAUGAUUUUGAUUAAAACACUUUUAUCUUGAAGCAUUUUUGUUGGUAGUGCUUCAAUUGAAAACUUUUUUUUUAAAGAAAAUCACUUGUGUUGGAUAUAAGCAAAAAUAAAAAUAAAAUGUUUUAAUAGCAUUUUUUUAUAUAAAAUAUAGUAUAAUAAAAGGUGAUUUUUUAAAGAAUCAUUGGAGUGAUGGUGUAAAAAUCACUUUAAAUGAUUUUCUAGAUUUUUAAAAGUGAUUUAAAAAAAAUUGACUAUCACCUAAUUUCUACAAGAAAACACUUUUAUUCCUUUUCAAAAUUAUUCCCAAAAGAGUUAUAAGUCAUUUUGGUUUGAUACAUCAUAUUAGUUUUUAUGGCAUGAUAUACCCGUACAACUUGUCAUCAAACAAUAAUUAAACAAGCCUUGGGAAGGUCCUUAGUGUGAAAAUCAAACUUGAUGUAUGUGAUGCCCAUGUAACUUGUUACCCGAUCAAGAACCAAAUAAGCCCUAAAUGUUAAAUACACGAAGGUGAUAAAAUUCAUCCAUUAAUAAUUGAAUUUUUAUUCAUCAGCUUGGUGGAUAUAGAGAGGAAUCAAUGGAAGAGGAUGAUUUGCCCUUCUCUCAAUUAGGAGGAGCUAUUUGUAGGUUCCUUGAUCAUGAAACUUUCAAGAAAUUACUUUUUUUCUUUCUUUCUUUUGUAGUCUUUGGUGCAAAGUAAAAAUUGAAUUGCAUAGAGCAAAAAUUUAAUGAUAUAUGACUAAUUAUUUUCUUACUUGUAAGAGCCUUUUUUUAUUCUAUGCAAAUCUUCUCAGGUAUAGGAAACCUCGAGGUAUUUACAGGUGGUCGAAUUUAGAGGCACUUAAUUUUUAUUGAGGUGAAUCAAACUUUUGGCCUGUUCACGGGGAUACUUUAUUUUGAAAAUUACUAGGAAAAGCUUAAAAGCUUUAUAGUUUAUCCAGGCUUCUAAAUACUAGUAUGAAAGCCUACCGGAUUUCAUUUUGGCACGGACCAAAGAUUCUAACUCCAAUCGGUUGCCGCCUGUGUGCACUUGGCUGUGCUGCAGUGCGCACCACGUCGCUCCCCUCCCUGCCUAAGACUAUGCGAUGCCGCGUAGAUGACCGGCGCCACAGUCAUCUUGCGUGCUGACCGAGUGACCGUUGGUGCAUUUGCUGCCCAUCUAGCCCACGCUACACCAACCCCUGUUCUGUGGGCUAUCAAUGCUUUCAAAUGAGUGUGCCAACAUCGGAAACGAAUGCCAUCGUACCAUGGUCACACGUCUAAGGUUGCAAACCUUGAAAGAGCUAUUCCCUCCAAGUGUUUGAUAAAAUGCCUCAUCGACUCCAAUGAUAAAAGCAUACCUACCGGCUACCGCCAUGCCCUAACCUUUUGCGGGACAUGGUAUGAAUCUUGCCACGUAGCUGCGGCAAAAGAUACUAGUAACCCACAAGGUCAGGGUACCAAUUGAAGAAACAUUUUGGACAUGGAAAGAUGUGGCAACAUGAAAAAGUGGGAAAGUAAGAAGGAAUAACAUGAAAUUAUUGCAAAUUCAUAGAUUUACUUACAGUCACAAACCACAUGAAGCAUAAUAGUUUCCCAUCUUCAUCUUUAAAAACCUCAAAAGUGACAGGACAAAAAAAAAAAAAAAAGGGUGGGCGGGGGGUGAAAGGAAGAUAUUGAGUGGAGAGUGGGAAAUUCAAGCUUCUAUUGGCCUUGCCACAAUGGUGGAAUGCUUCAAGAUGUGCAAACUGAACUGCCCACCCUUUCCUGUGGUGUCAAGUUUGGCCUGUCCAGGAGGAGGGAGGAGCUCAAAAUUCUGAACCAGACGUCCAAUUGUGAUACCAAGAAUUGGCAGAGCAAGAAUGAUUCCAGGGCAGCUUCUUCUUCCAACACCGAACGGGAGGUACCUGAAGUCAUUGCCAUUGGCCUCAACCUUGGACUCCUCCUCCAGGAAUCUCUCUGGCCUGAACUCUUCUGGUUUUUUCCACUUGGAAGAGUCGUUAGCAAGCCACCAUGCGUUCACCAGGAUUUUGCUCUCAGCAGGAAUGUCAUAGCCACCGAGCUUUGCAUCAUUCAGAUUCAUGUGGGGGACCAGGAGAGGAAUUGCCAUCCUUAGCCGGAGAGUUUCUUUGAUUACAGCCUGAAGAUAUGGAAGCUUUUGGAUAUCAGGCUCGGUGACUUGGACGCCAGGUCCAAGCACAGUGUUCAGCUCAUCCCUGAGCUUCUUCUGGAUGUGAGGGUGGUUCACCAGCUCUGCAAUGCCCCACUCGAUUGACCACAACGUUGUUUCAAUAGCUGCAUACACAAAUUUUUCACAUUAACAUGGUUCCAGUCCCAACCCAUUUCUUAAAAUGUUAGGAAAGAAUCAUUUAAAAGGUAAACUCGGGUUGUUAGCCUGACAUGCAGUAUUGAUCCACAACCCAAUAAUCUAAAUCUUUACAGUUUAUUUGACUAUUUGACUUUAUGUCAUGGUCUGAGGUCGCCUAUGGAGGAAGUGUACAUUAUUCCCAGCAGCUUAACAAAAGAUGGGUCAACCCUUUUGUUUUAGAUCUCUAAUUGGGAACUUAAACAUAUGGUCUAGUUGAUGUUUCAUACCAUAUAAAAAAGAUAAUUGGAAAGGAGAUUUUUCUAUGGUAGAAAUGGCUUAAAAAGGGGUAGUUAAGUAGUUCAACGUCGGUAAAGAUAUGGUCAUGGUGCCAUGGGACAAAAUGGGAAGUCCAGAAAAACAAUAGGCCUCAUCUCAGUUUUUAUCGUUCUAUUCAUACUUUGAAAAGACACCAUCUGACAGCCAACCAAAGAACCAACCAUAAAGAGAUGUGGCAGUUCAUGAUCUCUCAAUCAUGCCAACCGAUGCUUAAAAGUUGACUAGUACCCAUUACAAAAGAACUCAUUUUAGAAACUCUUGAAGGGUUAAGAUAGAAAAAGUCAAGGUUUAGAAGUUUUCCAAGCCACAAGGGAGACAAAAUCAAGGUUCUCUCUCCUGUUUACUUUUAGUUAUCCUAAUGUGAGAAAGGGUACAACUUGGGCAACCAUACAAACAAGCAAUCAUAACACCAAAGCACAAACAGAGGCGCUCCGAUUGGGCUGUGGUAGGUGAGCUUGAAAGCUAAAGUAAACCCAACUCAACCCAAGCUUUUAACACCUAACCCACUUUUCUAAAUCAACCACAUGAGUUGAAUUGGGACAAACUAACAAUGAUGUCACGUGCACCCUAUCUCUCACUUGACAUUCAUCCCUUGGUGGUCUCCCUCAAAGCUUAUCUCUCUCCAUUAAUUUUUUUUGGUUUUUCAGAGGCUAGUAUAAGCUAUAGCUUAUCUUGCGCCAAUUGGACAGCGACUCCCAAUCUAUCCAUGGAGCCCAGUCCUGACCUUGUCCAAUAUAUAAAAUUGAAAAAUCAACUCCAAUCCACGGUGCAAAGUUGAAGUAAUCCUAAAAAGGAAUCUAACUACUCCCAUGGGAUCUCAUAUAAUUACUUACUCCCAUUGAGGCACGUAGCGCCCUUAUAUUCCAUGGGAUUGUCGGGUAAUGACCCUCUUACACCUCUUACUCCCGUGAGUCAAAGAUGGGCUCCAGGGUUUGUUUUUCUAUUUUUUUAUUAUUUAUUGUAAAUCUUUUAUUAAAUAAAAAAAAUCAAAAUAUAUAAUUUUUUUUUAAUAAAAAAAAUUAUAUAUUAGUUUUUUUAUUUUUUAAUACUUAAUAAAAAUAAAAUACUAUAAAAACAACCUAAUAUUUAAAUAUUAAAUUGAGUAAAAAAACAAUGAUCAUUUUCCAUGAUUGAAAAAGAGACUAAACGAUUUCUGACGCGAAGAACACAGACAAAUUUAUAGGAGACAAGUUAAGGGGGAAAGGGGAUAUACCAGCAACAUUGAUGUUCUCCACAAUGUAAAGGACGUUGUCCUCGUUGAUCUCACCCUUCUGCUGAGCAUCCAAAAUAUGAUCAACGGCGCAUUUCAGACUGUUGUGAUCUGUGCUCUUUGUGCUUGCCAGCUUCCUGCAGACCAUCACAGUUUCCAUUUUAGAUUUUCUUUUCUUGAUUUGUACGAAUAGUGAAGGUUGACCAUGUAAUUCACUUUCUACGUUGUAAGUGGAAAAUUUAUGGAUUUGGCUAAUUUUAACCCUAAAUCAGGUUCAAAAGAGGGAAAAAAAUCGAAUUUAUGAAUGGAGAAUCCUGAAAAAAUGGAAUAGAAAACUUACUUCCUCUCCUCAAGAAAAUGGUCCUUGAAGAGCUGCAACCUUCUCUCCUUAACUUCCUUGCAGAUUUUCAGGUAGCCUCUCAAAAAUGGUCUCAAAAUGGGAAUGAAGUCUCCAUAAUUGUACUCGAAGCUCUGAGCCAGUCUACUCCUCUCUCCGUUCAAGGCUUUGAGCUUCACGAACAACGGAUCCUCCUCACUAUCGAAUCUUCUAUCGAACAUGAUUCUAUACAUGUUGUUGUACAUCAUGAGCUGCAACCGUCUCCUCAGCACGAUUCCGUUGGUGGAGGCCUCGGGAUUCUUCUUCACGUCCUCAACCACACGCGCCGCCUCGUCCUCCCAUCCGACGCGGUACUGCUGAACUACCUUGUUGGUGAAGAAAGGGACGGUCAUGAUCCGCCGCAUCUUCCGCCAAUGCUCACCGUACACCGUGAACACCAUGUCCUGGCCCUUACCUGUGAAUAUGUCGAACACCACGUUUCUUGUGCGUGAUCCGAACUCCACUCCCUGAGUGUGCAAAACGUCCUUCGCCAGGUCCGGCGACGACACCACCACCAGGUUCCGCUGCCCCAUUCGCAGCAUGAAAAUGUCCCCGAAUUUCUUCGCUAAGUCGGAGAGGUUCAGGUGGUUCAAGUCAUCCCCAACCUGCAGCCAGUUCCCGAAAACCGGCACCGGCAGAGGACCUGGAGGCAGCUUUAAUUUCUUCCCCAGAAGCUUAGAGAUGGUGAUGGCCAGAAUUAUAGCGCAGAACACCGCUAACAGAGCUUUCUCUAUGAGUAUGAGAUCCAUGGUUGUGGCGGUGGAUGGUGCCUGAGGGCUGGUGGGUGGCGGAUGGUGGAUAUGGUUGAUGGUGGGUGUAGUGAUGGGCUUAUAUAGGGAAAUGAGUGAAGCAAUAGCGCCGGCUCGGGCUGACGGGAAUCGUUAGGUGGGAGUAGGCGAGUGCGAGGGAGUGGGUGAGAGUCCUAUAUUGACGGCGUGAAAUGUGACGGCGCUUUUGAGGGGUAGGUCCGCCAGAUUCAGGGUGACGAGUUUGAAGGGAGUAGGUAAGGGGGUGGGUGGAGCGAAAGCGUCAAAUUGAUGGACCUUUCAAAGUGAAGGAGCUCCUAUCCUCUGCGUACCCCCACCACACUCCAACUAUCCUUCUAAUCCAAUGGCUCUCAUUUUAUUUUUUCACGUGACCAACCUACUCAUAUGUUCUAGCACUACACAUUAUAAUAAUUUUGUUUAAAUAGUUUUCGUGCACAAGGAGUUUUAAAAUCUCAUCCAAUUACUGCUUGCGCCAGUUAGUAAUAGUGGGUCCUAUAACAUUAUGUGGCAGUGACUGGUGAAUUGCGGGGAAUUUGGUUUUGAGGCUGAGGAGGAUUUGCCACGGUUUCCUUAUUCGUUGCAUCAUGGAUUUCCUACCAUUAAUACUUGUGACAUUCAAUAUUUUCCAUUCUUCAAAUUAUUUAGAAUAAUAAUUGGAUAAUUCCUUUUAAUCUAUUCCACCUGAAAUUAAGAUAAAUAUAAAAAUUUUGAGAUUCAACUCACUUGUUAAACUCAAGUCCUAAAUCUAAAUCAAUUCAAUUUUAAGAUCCCACUCUUCUACUAUAUUUGAUUUCUAAAAAAUCAAUGAAAAUAAAAAAUAAAUUUAAAAUUAAUAAAUUAUUUAAAAUUAUAUUUCCACUACAUAUAUCAAUAAAUUUGUAAUUCUCAAAUCCUUUUCAUAAAUAUUUCUAUUUUUAAUUUUUUGAUAAUCAAGGUAAAUUCUUGAACAAAAUUGCUAGAUAAUUAAUUAUUUAAUAUUCAAUCAAUUGAAAAUUUUAACUAGGUUCGGACAAUAAUCUAACUCUGACUCACUCUCUUUUUUUUGCCCCUUUUUUUGGCUUUUACAUUAAAUCUAAGUGGUUGCCUUCCCAUGGCACUAAACAUUGUUGUGUAAAUUAAGCCAAUUUGAUAGGAAUAAAGUCAGCCAAAUGCCAUCAGAAAUGCCUCUGAUGGGCCUAAAAUUGGCCAAUUACAAUUACAAUUACUCGAACAAACAAGGCUUACUCAUGCACGAAAUCAAUAGCAUCUUUGCCAGGCCCGAAACUUUGAAAAUUCAAAGCAAAUGUAAUAUUUUUAAGUUUAUGUCGGACAAUGACACUUUUGAUCUUUUUCCCUUUUCAACCUUUACACUCCAUAAAUUUGAUAUUCAAAAAGCUUUAAUUUUUAAACGAACGGCAUGGACUACAUCAACUCCUCUUUUUUUUAUUAUUAUUAUAAAACUUUAAAAAAGAUGGAGAUUUUGUUGGAGAAGUACAAAUAAGAGAAAACCUCCAAAAGUCAACUACAGGCGCCCUCUUUGGCUGCCUGGUUUGAGUCAUGGGUCAGUUUUGGGAACUACCUUAUAGGUACCGCGUGCCAUCUGCCGGCAAAUCUCAUCCUCCGCUCAUUUCUUACCUUAUAAUCCUGCAACCAUCUCCUUUAUUAAACUAUAUAUUCUAUCGCUUUCAUGGUUCCGUAAAUCAAAUAAAAAAAACGCGAAAAUAUUAUAGUUUUUUCCGCUGCCCUAUUCUUUCCCUACGUCAUGGCUUUUACUAUAUUAAAGUAUUGGAAAUGAGCAAAUGAGUAUUGUUAUCGUGGCACCUAUCAAUACUCUUUUGGUAACGUAUCCCCAUUAAAUCUAGUUUUGACAUCACGUUGAAAAAUCAAAAUUUUAAAAUCAGUGAUCUUUUGGUAACGUAUCCCAUUAAAUCUAGUUUUGAUGUCUUGUUGAAAAAUCAAUUUUUAAAAAAAGUUAAAUUUAUGAUAUAUUAUUUUGAAUUUAACUAGAAAAAGGCUCGUAAUAAAAUUUGAUCAUCCCCUAAUGCGGGCAUUUACUAAUCUCAAGGUUUAGAGCGAUAAAACCUAACCAUCACACAUAAUACUUAUUUGUUAAUAUGUCAAUUUUUAUAUUUACACUUACAUUCAAGAAUUUAUAUUUUAUUUUAUAUGCAAGUGACGACAUUGUUGAAAGAAAUAUGUGAUCAAACCAAUACAAUAUACCUUUCCUCAAAAUUGGAGGCUAGGUAGCCAAAUGAAUGUGGAUUAUAAAAAGGAAAGAGAGGGCAAAGCAGAUGGGAAGAGAAUGGAAGGAGACCACUUCUAAGGCCUACCUACUACCGUGGAUAGAGACGUAAUCAAAUAUCAUACCUAACCCCCAACAAAGAGACCACGAGCAGUGCCUCAAGCUACCUCCACCACCGCCCCCCAUUUUUAGUGAUCAAAUUUAGCCACGUCAUCUUUAUGUCAAUAAUCCUAUUUUCCUACGUCAUCUAUCGUUCCACAGUGGCAUGGUUUCCUCUUCCGUGGGCUAUCAAACUUGGACCGUCCACCUUGGCUGCAGCAUUAUUUGUUUUUCUCAUUUAUUGCACAAUUUAAAACCUUAUCUGGGUUUGGCGGGUUCUGCAAAUUGCAAUUACUAGCCUCCAGUGAGAGUCUUCCAAGUUAGAACCAAUGAGAAUUGGCCAAUGCCAUAUGAGUUUUCUUUUAUAUUUAUUAUAUAUUGUAUAAACAUUAUUAAAGUAAUUUAUGAUUAUUAAAUUAUGAUGAAAUUAAUUUUUAAACAUAUUUAUUAUAUUUUAGGUUAAAAAAUUUAGAUAUAAUAUGAAUUUCAAAUCCAAAGUGAUUUUAAUUAACGUACAUGUUAAUUUCCAUUCAAUUUUUUUAUUAUCUAAAUUAAAUCAAAUCAAUUUUAAAUAAACUUGAUUUGGUUUUAUGUUUCCAUUAUUAAAAGGUUGGUUCGAUUUUGAUUCAAAUAAAAAUCGACUAUGCCCCGAUUUGAUUAAUUUUUCUUUAAUAAAAAUUAAAAGAUAUCAUACUUUAAUCAAUCUUGCAAAAAUAAUUAUAAUGGUAAGGUGGAAUUUUGCAAGUCUCCAUCAAGAUUGUGAAAAAUGAUUUAUUUUUGGUACCUUUCGACCAAUAAUACUACUAACUCCCUUCCAUCUAUAAUAAUGAAUAUUUGUCUCCCUAGGCGAUCUCUAAUAAUCAAUGUGGCGUCUUCUCUAGGUGAGUCCCCAUCAGCACAUACGCUCCACAUAUUUUUUUUUUUUGUGGGACAAUAAAGAAAAACAUUUUCCCAUGACUAAUGACUCGAUAUAAAGAGCAACUCUUUUAUAUCCUUUUGAGCCGAUGGAAACUUUGAUUAUAUCCCAAAAAAAGUCCUCCUCCCUUUUUCUAUGAUCAGGAUCAUUAAUAACGUUAAUGGUAUCGCUAGAGGUAGUGGGAUUGUAACUUCUUUUUGUAAUGAUCGGAUCAUAUUAUGUUUUUGAGCGGUAUGGAAACUAUAAGUAGUAGGACUAUAACUUAGUUGAUUUUAUGUAAUCAACUCCAUAUUUAGAUUGAUAUGGGUAAAAAUUGAAUGGGUUAGGUAGGGGCUUAAAGCUUUUAAAAAUCAAUGAGCAUAUAUUGAGGAGAGCAUUUUAUAACCUUGGUUUUGUCGGAGAUUACGAAAUCGAGGUUUGGUUCAUUUCAAUUUUAAUAAGAACAAAACAAGGUUUAAAAUUAAUAUUUUCUUUUUAAGUAUGUUUUAGCUAAUAAGAUUUUUGAAGUGGCAAUUAUAAGGACAAAUCAAAUUUAAAAAAAAUAUAUAAAAGACGAGUUUUCAAGACUUUGUCUAUAAUAUUUUGUAAGGUUGAUAGUAUACUAGGAUUAUGCAUUAUAUCUUUAAGCACAAAAAAUCAUCAAAGUAUUAAUUUGUUUUAAAUUAUUUUAUAAUAGGAUGAUCUCAUAUUUCAAUUAAAACUACGUGUUAAAUGUUUUUUAAAUUUGCUUUAAAAGGUUUUACAAAAUAAAAUACAAGUUACUAAAUGAUUCAAACCUCAAAUUAGGGCAUUUUAUGCACUUUAUAGUACAAGGCAGAGAGGAAUUGGUUGAGCCAAUUGACUCAACAUGUUGAAGUACACUUGUACACUUUUUCUUCCAAUAAUAUGUACUCAAUUAAUUGAGGUUAAGCCUCAAUAGGACUAGUUAAGAUCUUAUUGAAGCCCCAAAACCCAACUAUCACAUAUCAUAAGUAUUAAUUGCUAACAACUAAUGAAUUUCAAUUAAAUUGAUGUGUGGACCCCGCAUUUCGAUUGCGCUAUGCGUUUCCCACUCGAUGGCGAGCUCGAAUUUUAAUUUGAAAAAUUGAUUUAUAUUGAUUAUGAAAAUGACUUGGAGUCGCCACUUAUUUUUGUUUUAUUUUUAAAGGGUAAACAAAAUAAGAAAGAAAAACCCUAAGUGUGACUCCUUAUUUUGGAAAAGGUGGUCUGUGAAAAACCAGAUCGGGUUCGGGGGUCAGGUUACUUAUCAGGAAGGUACGGUAAAAACCGUAGCACCCUUCUAAGUCCCUAAAAAUGGGUCUCUACUAAUAAAAUGAAGCAAUCAUGGCAAUUGAUGAGGAAAUCAAUGAAUACUCAGAGUGAUCAUGCACACGUGAGAAUUUAAACAUGCAUAUCGAAAAUGACUAGAGCGGAUGUAGAUGCGUACCUGGGCAGUGAUCCAUGAAGCGCUAUCAAGAAGUGACGUUAGUGCACAAUUAAGAAAUAAUAGCAUGCACGUCGUAGAGCAGAAUAAAUAAAUAGCGCGUGACAAACAAAUCAAUCAAUCAUAAAAUCACGUAUGUGGGGCCCCCACCAAAGCCCGAUUGAUCUUGCACGAAUUAAUCUCACAAAUUCCAUUGUUCUGAAAUUAUGAAAAUGACAUUCACGCUUAUAUAAAAUUAAGAGAAAAAGAAGAUUAUUUGAAAACCAAAGUGGAAUUAAAACUAUUUGAGAGAAAAUUAGAUUUUUGAAAUUUAAUUGAAAAAUUGGAAUCUCGAAGAUCACUAGAAAAUUGGAGUUUUAGAGUUUAUUUGGAAAUUAGAUUUUUAGUGAUUGAAUGUGAGAAUGAGAAUUUUUAGAAAAUGAAUUUGAAAGAGGUUAGAAUUUCAGAGAACUAAAUUUGGGAAUUGGAAUUUUGAAGAAUUAUUUAAAGAUGGAAUGUCGGAAAAUUAAAUUUCGAAAAGUGGAAACCCGAAAAAUUAUUUUAAGGAUGGAACGCCGGAAAAUUAAAUUUCGAAAAGUGAAAACCCGAAAAAUUAUUUUAAGGAUGAAAUAUCGGAAAAUUAAAUUUCGAAAAGUGGAAACCCGAAAAAUUAUUUUAAGGAUGGAACGCCGGAAAAUUAAAUUUCGAAAAGUGAAAACCCGAAAAAUUAUUUUAAGGAUGGAAUAUCGGAAAAUUAAAUUUCGAAAACCCGGAAUAUUUAGAGAAUUACUUUGAUAUCCAAAACGUGAAGAAAUAAUAAAAGAAAUGUGAAUUGUGGUCAUCUUUAAGUGCACGUCUCCAGUGUAAUGCCCAUAAACCCAUUUUACAUAUUUUAUUUUAUUUUUUACCACCUGAGCAAACAACUUUUGCAUGAAGAUUGAUGAGUGGGUAUUGAAGAAUGAUGACAUGGGCAAGGUAAUGGAAUCAGCCACUAGCAGGAAAUAAAUAAAAAAUGAAAAUCCUACAGACCCAUUUAAUUCGACAUCAAACCAGAAAGCAAAACCAUGCAUUAAACCCUACUCACCACCUGCAUCCUCCUCCUUGGAUCCUUUUAAUCGCCUUUUCAUCCACAAGGAUAGAACCAAACCAGUCUCAUUCUCAUUGAGGUCCAAAACAGAGCAUCCAUGAACACAGUCCGGUUAACAAACUCCUGCUUCAUUUGAACCAAUGCAUGGCUCCAGCUAUUUUAUCAAUUACAAGAAGCCAAACUCCAUUUCUGGGACCUUCACUCGUAGAAGGAAACCUCAAGUGUGGGAGCCAAAAACAGAGAUUCGGAUGGAAACACCCACACACAUAAUAGGGAAAAGGAAGCAGAGAAUACAAUGGAAUGAAGCUUUAAAAAAGGAUAAACAAAGACCAAACACCCAACAAAUAUGAAGAAACCUAUUUCAUUUUUCUUUAUCCGUGGGUUUGAAGGUCGAUGGAUUAAACUAAGAAGACAUCUUAAGAGACAAAAUAAAUCCAAGAUACAAGAAAGUUUUCAAAUAUCUAACAACCAAACCAAGCACAGUCAGGUUAUCCUUGAAUGAAACCAGAGAAAUAGAGAAUGGAACCACAAUAACCAAAUCAAAACAACCUCACAAACAAUGCAAGAUGAUCACAUGAACCAGAAAAUAGAGAAGCCUGAUGAUUAUUAAUAGCCUAUGAACCCAAAGAAUCUUACCUAGUCGUGCUCCCCUCAAGUAGAAAUUUGAUUGGCUUCAAACCAACCUUCUCUGCUCAGUUCUGGCUCCCUAAAAAAUCCCUCCAAACGGCAGCCAAUAGCACCACUCCCUCCCACAGUUUGCUGCUCUUAGCUCUACAAAUACUCUCUCUCUCUAAUGAAAACCCCCCUCCCAAUCUCUCCUACUCUCUGCUUUUUUCUUUUUUUUUUUCUAGCCGUCGCCUACCUUCUCGGGCAAGCCAUUACCUGCUUCCCUGUUCAUCUCUCAGCCGGUAUGGGCUCCUCCAACUCCAGCAUGGCCUCUGCCACGUCUCUUUCUCCCCUCCCAUCUGGUGGUCCCCCCUUUGUUUAAAAGAGAAAUACCCAGAAGAGAGAAAAAAACUCUCCCCCCGGGCCCCUCAUAAAAGGGGGUCUACAUGAUGUUUGACCAAACGAACCCAAAUUGUGCAUAAUGACUAAUUUGACUUUCCAACUCCUAUAAAAAUAAAAUAAAAAAAAAAAAAAAUCCUCCAAAUUUCAUUCUUUUGUAAACUUAAUAUCGUAAUUUAAAAAAAAAAUAUAUUUGAACCUUGGGGAGUGUUUUAUAGUGUACAUUGUUUCAAAACUUGUAUAUCAUUAGUACACUAUUAAAUCUUAAUUUAUCUUGUAUUAUUUGAGCAUAAAUUUUAUAUUAGGGUUUUAUGAGAAUAUUUUCUAUCAUUUCCUAUAAAGAUUUUGAGAGGGAAAUUUAAGUGUCGAGGUAUCACUUAGGGAUUUUGGGUAUCACUUAAAGGAUUGUUUAAAACUAUGUAUAUUUUGAGGAUUGUAAAAGUUGUUUGGAACCAUUAGUUCAAGAGGGUUCAUUUGAACCAUAAUCAAAUUGUAAAAUUUAGAGGUUUAGGUUAUAAGCUUUGAAAUAGUGGAUCCUUAUUCGGUUAAGAGUUUGAGAAGAGUAGAUGUAAGUUAAGUUGUACUAAACCAACAUAAAAACGAGUAUUUACAUUUUCUUUUAUCCAUUCUCUUUAUUUUAUAUACGAUUACUUUUCAUUGUAUUUAUUUCAUAUUUGUAUAUAAUUAUCUUUUAUAUUCACAUAAUUUGAAUUUUAUCUAUAUAGUAAAGGAAAACAAAAAUAUAGAGAAUAGUAAUAAAGUAGAAAAAAAUCUUAAUAAUUAUGAAUAUUAUUAAUUUAAAAAAAUCUAAAUGUUUAAUAUUAUUACUAGACUUUUAUAUUGCUUAAUAAUCAUAACGCUAAUUCGACAUUAAAAGAUGAUAAUCAAAAUAAUUGUAAGUAUUUUUUAUUUUUUUUUAAAAAAAGAAAGAAAAAAGAUAAAAAUAGAGACAUGCAAACAAUAGGUUUGGCAAUUAAUUAUGUCCAUUUUUUCAUACUUCAAUAUACUAAUUCCAAAGUUUUCUUUAACUAAAGUCUUCAAUGCUUUACACUUGAUUCAAAUAUGUAAUAUCUUUACAAUUCCUUCAAGUGAUUUGUCAUGUUUGAAAAAAAGUUUUCAUAUUUUAUAAGUUCAAAACACUUAAAUGGUGAGGUUUUUUGUUUACAAAUUGAGACUUAGUACGAUGAAAAAAUACGAUUAGCAAAAGAAAGGAUGGUGCAAGAAAAGAGACCUUUGCAAGCUCUUUAAUUAGUUUGUAUGAUGAUUGUUGAAUGUUGGUGAAACCAUAAUUGUUCAAUUUAUUUAUUUUUUGUUUGUCAAGAAAAGAGACCUUUGCAAGCUCUUUAAUUAGUUUGUAUAAUGAUUGUUGAAUGUUGGUGAAACCAUAAUUGUUCAAUUUAUUUUUUUUUUGUUCGUUAGUUUUUGUUUUGAUUUUAGAUUUUUUCCCAUACUUGAAACUAGUCACGGGCCAUAGUUUCGAGUCAACUCAUUGACUAGAUGAUAAAUCAAAGAACUAGUGAUUUGGUUAAAAAUAUAUAUGGAGAUGACCAAUGGAUUGUGAAAAUCUUGAAUGAUAUUUGAUUAGUUGAGGUAAAACCUUAACCACUUCAAUACAACACCGAGGGUUACUGUUUGAAAAGUUUGCACAACACAACUCAACUCAACUAAUUGAGAUGAAACUCGAUUAGUUGAGCUUUGCCCUUACAAAAAUACUAAAUCGAUUGAUCGUUACUUUUUACACUUUUUUAAUUUUGAAAAUUUUCAACUUUUAAGCUCAAAAACACUUAGGGAACAAUCAAUAUAUAUUCCUAUAAAUUUAAAGAAAUCCAUUUAAAGAUAAAACAAUGAACCAAUAUUGGUAUUUUGUCAUCAAGUUUUUUUAAGUGUUUGAGUCAAUUUAAAAACCAAUUAGAUAAUGUUUUCCCGCAAUUAUACCCCACUCAUCAUCCAAUUAUCCAAAAUCUCCUAAAUCAAAUCAUCUUCAACCUUGGUGGAUUCUCCAUGGAGCACAAUCAUAAUUUCUUUCUUCCAUUGUUAGAAGAUUACCAUAUAUUUAAAUACCAUAUAAAGUUUUUAAAGUAUUUUCUAUCUUUUCAAUUAUUGUUAGAAGAUUCUAUUCAAACAACUUAAAAUACCUCAAAAUUGUUCUAAAAUAACCUAUUUUUAGAAUAAAUUAUGAAAAAUUAUAGAAAAACUAUUUUCUGUCCAAAAUUCACCAAAUGGAUGCACUAUGGGAACGCAAGUACUUUGGAAGACCAUUUCAUGGGCCUCUCUCCCCGCUUGAUCCAGUUAUAUUGCAAAAUAUGGGCUAACUUCAACGGGACCAAAAUACUAACAGUUACGAUGUUCAAAAUGGCCCAAAAUUUUCAGGCCCAUUUCUUUCAGCCCACAAAGUUGCUGAGACAGAGGUAUCAUAUACUUGAUAUAGUUUCAGGCUUUCACCAUCAUCCUUAGCUCAGAUUAGCACGAAGCCACGAGCCCUUCCCUCGGCUGCUCACACGCACUCUCUCUGUCAAUAUACGUUUCCUUCUCUCUCGGUCUCAAGCAAUGUCUUAUGUGCCACCGCACCUGAGGAACCCUUCUUCUUCUAUCUCUCGAACCUCCAAACCUACCGAAACCUCCGCGGUAACCCUAGACGACACUCAUCGCACCACCAACAACCUUUCCUAUUCCUCCACAAACUCUCAUCUCUCUCAUUCCAACGCCUCUUCCUCUCCUUCUCUCUCUCGUUGGGCCUCCUCCAAUGCCGCCGCCGUGCCUCGGACUCCCUCCGUUCCGGAGCCCGUUUUCCCUCAGUGGAAGCCUUCCGACCGUGUUUUCCUUAUGAAACCUGAACAGGUUUGAUGUUUAUGGUUCUCUGAUUGAUUUUUUUUUUUGGCUAUGGUGGUUUGAGUGGGUUGUUGCUUGAAUUAAUUUCACUACUAUGCUAAUUUUGGCGUUCUUUUUGGAGUUGUUGUUGUGUUGUUUUGUGGCCCUGUUUGGUUGCUGAGAUAAUUAUGAAUGAGAAGGGGAAAAGUCAACGUUUCUUUUAUUGUUGUUUAGUUGGAAGAAAAAAGAGAGCUUAAGUUACAUCAGUCAAAAAAUAGUCUUAGAAAACUUAAGUGAGAUGAUUAUUCUGUUUUUGGAGGAGCCGAAGCAGUGGAUAGUGUAAGAUUCAAUUAUCCUUUGGAAAAUUAUAUGAUUCUGAUUCUGUAAUAUAUAAAGAAUGUGACUUAAGAAAAUGUCACUGAAUAUGACCAAGGUUCAAAAAAUGUGGCAUAAUUAAGGAAAAAUGUGACUUGGGCAGUGAGAGAGCUCAAAGAGGUAUGACACCACCAAAAAUUUGAUACUUUUUGUUCUCAUGGUCUGCUCGUUGUCCUCUCCUUCAGUUUUCUGCCUGAUUCUCAACAACCAACCGGAGUAUCAUUUUUUGUUAAUUUUAGUCAUUGCGUUAUAUUUGGACUUGAAGGCAAUAGUUAGUUUAUGGUUCAAUGUUUCAUUUGUGCUCUAAAACGUAUUUUCUGCCUGAGAUUCUUUUGGUUGAAUUAUAAUCAUUUUUGUAUUCUGAAAUUGGAGAAAUUGGAAUAUUGGCAUAUUCAUCAAAGCGAUCAUUUGAAAUAUUGAAUUUGAAUUAAUGUUUUUGUUAUCUUGGCAUGAUGCAUUUACAUACAGAUUGAAGAGGUCCGAUUGCGGCUUAAUGUUGAUGUUACUGUUGCUCCAGACUUGCCUCCUGCACCUGCACCAAUUGAAUCAUUCACAGACAUGGUAAAUUUGUGCAUUUAUGUGUCUUGGUGAUAUGAUCAAAGCUACUUUAAUGAGGCAGCAAUAAAAUCUCAAGUUAAGAAAAUAUGGUUUUUUAUUUUUUCAGGGUCUGCACCAAAGCAUCAUGAAGGAUAUUACCUUUCAUGAAUAUACUAGGCCCACCUUUAUUCAAGCUCAGGCCAUGCCAGUUGCUCUCAGCGGAAGGGAUCUCCUGGGAUGUGCUGAAACUGGUAGUGGAAAGACUGCUGCUUUUGCUAUUCCUAUGAUUCAGGUCUUUAUUUCAUGAUUUUAAUGGACUAUUAUGAACUUUAUAUUUUCUUUUGAGUUUUAGUGUUUGCUUGGAAAUUGAACAAUUGGAUAUAUAUCUGGCUAAUUGAUGGUUUUCUGCCUUACUUUUCUAUCUUCCAUUUCCAAUUUUGCAGCAUUGCUUGGCUCAACCUCCUGUUCGGCGAGGUGAUGGACCAUUGGCAUUGGUCUUGGCUCCCACAAGAGAGCUUGCCCAACAAAUAGAAAAGGAGGUGCCAACUAUUUUUUGUGAAUAGAAGAUGAAUGCUGUUGUUAGGAUUAUCUAAGUUUCAAACUGUUGGCAGUAAUAGUUCAUGUUUUUUCUUCUAAACCACAUUAUAACGAUGCUGCAAGUGUUUGUCAAAAUUGAAUUCACAUUUGGUUCUUAAUUAUGUUUGUUAGUUUUAAUCUAGAGCGGACUUCAUGUUGCCAACCCAAUUAGAUGAACAAAGACAUUUUGGCGUGUUGAAUUGUUAUAUGUUUAUUAUUCUCGCCAUUUUGUUCUUUGUUUUUGCUGAACGGAUACACAAAAGCACUCUCUCACAUUCUUCAUUAUAUUCUUUGAUCUCGAUUACUUUUUUAUUAGAUAUGAAAGUUAUAUUAAACUGGCAUGCAUUCGUUGGAUUUUGUUUACUUCUGAAUAUGAAUAUUUAUGCAUAAAUAGGACCCAAUAACAUUUUCUCCAAAUUCUUUAGAACCUUAAAGCAAACUAGGAUUAUUUCCUUUAUUAGUUUCUUUGGUCAAUUUGGAAAUGGAAUUAAUAUGUCUGAACCAUGAAAGCUGAUAAUUCUUGAGUAUGCCAGGCUUAUCUAAGAAGGGUUAGCUUGGUGAAUGAUGAGAUCAUUCUUUUAUUGCAUGUGGUCUAGCACAUCAUAUCAUUUUAAGUAUUGUUUUUCAAACUUGGUUUUUAUUUUAUUUUAUUUUAUUUGAAGGGUGAGCACAUUUUUCCUUCUCUUUUGGGUUUUAUUCUCUACAUUUGUGGGAAUGAAUAAGAACCAAUAUUAUCAUUUAUUUAGGAUUUAUGAGAUGAAUAAUUUAGCGAGAUUUUUUUCUCCUUGAAUUAUGAGUUGUAUCUUUUGAUUUACAUUUAAUAUCUGAUCUAUUUUGAGAUCAUCUUUCGUUCUCAAAUUACCAUGUUGAGCAAUCUGAUGUCUCCUGUCCAGGUUAAGGCUUUUAGUAGAUCACUUGAUUCCUUUAGAACUGCGAUAGUUGUGGGUGGAACAAACAUUUCCGAGCAGGUGACCAAUUUUGUCUUGAUAAUUUCAUUUCAUAAUGGUUUUUGAAAAUUGAAAUCGUUGUCCUAGUUUCUCCUUAUUCAUUUCUGAGCAGGACUGCAGGAGAACAAAAGGAAAAAUUUAUGUCCUGUCUCUUCUUAUUGCUGUUUACAUUUCAUUUCCUUGGUGCAGGAAAAAAUGGUUUCCAAUCCUAUCUUAUAUACGCAUAUAUGUUUUGUUGGUUUCUUUUGUUGCUUGACACCAAACAGAGGUCUGAACUUAGAGCAGGAGUAAAUAUAGUGGUUGCCACUCCUGGAAGAUUCAUUCAUCAUUUACAAGAAGGAAACACGUCUCUUUCCAGAAUUUCAUUUGUUGUUUUGGAUGAAGCUGACAGAAUGCUUGACAUGGGAUUUGAACCACAAAUAAGAGAGGUAUAUUACAUGCCAAUCCAUAUACUCACAUUUUUAGAUUUUCCCCACUUGCUUAUAUCAUUGCUACUUAAGAGGCUCUGCCUUUAUUUAGUUCAUUUUAUGCUCCAGUUCCUAGUGUCUCUCUUUUCUUUGUAAGCAUGUUAAUCUAUCUAUACAUUUUGUGUCCUUCCUUUUCCUUGCUUUUGCAAUGUUUUGCAUGCUUUAAUAAAAAAACAUGCAAUCAGUUUACUUGCAUUUGGUUGCAACCUAUCAUCAUCUCAUUCUCAGCAUAUGGUCUGUGAACCUUCUGGAAGAAGACAUUUUACACUCCCUUUCAUUCCAUUUCAGGUGAUGCAAAAUCUGCCACAAAAGCAUCAAACACUGCUGUUCAGUGCAACCAUGCCAAUGGAGAUUGAAACAUUAGCACAGGUUGGGAGUAUUUUCUGUUUCACAUCAUGGUGAUCUUGUCAAGAAGUUGAUUCCAUUUUUUAUUGCCUCAUGCUCAAAUUGAACCCAGAGUUUGUGUUAAACUUGUACUGUGAAGUUUUUACAUCUGAUGUAAGUCCAUGCCUUGUCCUCCUGAUUAAGAGUUUCAUCCAAUAUCCUCUAGAUGUCCCUCUGGAAAGCAUCUGAACUCAAUAAAUAAGGUUCUGCUGUAUAUUUGCCUUUUUUUUUUCUCCCUUCUUUGCUUUCUUUUUGUGGGAUAUGAUCAAGCACUUAACCUUGGAGUUCGAGAAAACUGAGUCUGACUUUGAAAUCAGUGUAAUUGAAUGCUCCUAUAGGUUCCAAAAGUACAUUAAAAGAAAAGUACAUUCCCAACUUUGGCAGUGCUUUCUUCUGCAUAAUGUGGAUUUCCCACUUUUUCUGAUUUUUAAAAAUCUUUCUGGUGUUAAAAUGAGCCUACAAACAAUGGAUGCUUCUGAGAAGAGGUAUCAAAUGCCUUUCUCAUUUUGGUGUUAGCGUGUGUGGCACCUCCAAGAUGACAUUGUUAAGUCUUGUAAAAAUUAAGCAAAAUUUUUUUAGAAGUUGCUCUGAGAACGAUUAUGUCUUCUUUUGUAUUUAUUUGGAUUGAUUUUGAUGUUAGCAUGAAGUAUUUUGGCAUAAUUUGACUUUAUUUUUUUGUGCCGUCUUAGGAGUAUCUAAAUAAUCCUGUGCAAGUAAAGGUGGGAAAAGUGAGUUGCCCAACAGCAAAUGUUUCUCAGAUUUUGGAGAAGGUUUCUGAAAGUGAGAAGGUAUGCUUAUUUUGGCACUUGAUACAUUUUUUCUUUCCUGAAAUCUCACUUAGUUCUCCUCUAAUUUUUUAAUCACAAUUUUCUGAUCUUACACACGAGUCUUUUUUAGGGGAGGAGCUUGGACAUGUUCUUUUGUUCUUCAACAUGUAUGCUUCAAGUUCUAUUACUUGGAGUCCCAUUAUCACUUUUAGUAUUUAUCCUUGUCUAAAUUAACAAGUUAGAUUUCUAAAUGGAAGGUCAAUCCUAAAUUGGGUAUGAAUCUGGAGAUAGAGGUUAUUUGCUUGUAAACUUGUAGCUGGAUGAAUGACUUGAGAGAUAUGAUGUGUAGUGAUAGCAAGACUAUACAUUAUAAGGCUAAUCAAAUUAGACACUUAGAACUUACUGGCAUACUGCAAUUGUUGCAGUCAGUACUUGUUCUUGGUGGUUUUUUAUUUUUUUCAUUUUUUCAAAAAUUUGUUUUGUUCUUUUGGGAAAUUAAAUGGGUUAUGAGCCUCCAUGAAGACUUGUUUCUUUCAUUUAUUGCUAUGUAUGAGGAAAGAUUGUGGUGGACACCAGGCUUGAUGUUGUAUAAAGAUAAGUUGACCACAACAAAUUUUCUUCUAUGCUUUUUCUGGGCUUGGAAGUUCCUUUAGGACAUUUAAAGAAGAGAUGAUAUUUGGAGUAGUUGAGGUUGGCCUUUUCCUUGGGGUGGGGAUGGCUGCAGCAAGGAAAACUUACAGUCCCAUCCUUGAUCCUCCAAUUCAAAACAUUUAUCAGGUUUAUACUCUCAGCAAUGGUUUAGGGCAUCAGUGCUAGCUUUUAUAAUGGUGAUGAGACUUGGUAUUGGAAGAUAUUCUAUGAUAAGCAUAGACUACUGCAUAAAAUAAUCCAAAAUGGAUUGUAGGGUACAAAAAAAAAAAUAUAGUAUGCCCUAGCUAUGAUACUUAUAGCUAGCAUUUGUAUUGUCAAAAUAUUGUGUGAAUGGCCAAAUACCUUUGCCUUGAGUUUUGUAUAUUAUAUGUAGACUUUACAAGGAUGUUAUACAUGGAAAGCAAAUAAAAGCAAAUAAAUUCCCGCAUGAUUCUUUGGCUGAGGAGCAAGAGGUGAAGGAGGGGAUUGUGAAUGCUUUUCAGCAUCAGCUCUUGGAAGAGCCAGGAUGGAGAGCUGGCAUUGAGGGGCUGCACCUUCAAUGUCUAAACCACAGUGAAGCUGAAGCUCUGGAGAUGCCUUUUACUGAGGAAGAAAUUUUCUUAGCUCUGAUGGAAAUGAACGGAGACAAGGCUCCGGGCCUGGAUGGGUUUACUGUGGCCUUUUGGCAAUCUUGUUGGGAUUUUGUGAAGGAGGAGGUUGUAGAGCUGUUUAAGGAAUUUUAUGACCAGAAAUCUUUUGCUAAAAGCCUAAAUACUACCUUCUUGGUCCUCAUCCCAAAAAAAGGUGGGGCUAAGGAUCUCGGGGAUUUUCGGCCCAUCAGCCUUUUAGGGGGGCUAUGCAAGCUUCUGGCCAAAGUGCUGGCCAAUAGGUUGAAGAAGGUGUUAGGUAAGGUGGUCUCGGCGGAUCAAAAUGCAUUUGUGAGGGGAAGACAGAUUCUGGAUGCCUCUCUCAUAGCUAAUGAGGUGGUUGAUUAUUGGCAGAAGCGGAAAGAGAAAGGGCUGGUUGGCAAACUGGAUAUUGAAAAAGCCUAUGAUAGUAUUAAUUGGAACUUCCUCAUGAAGGUUUUGCAUAAGAUGGGCUUUGGGUCUCGUUGGAUGGAGUGGAUUCGGUGGUGCAUCUCAACUGCAAAAUUUUCGGUUCUUGUCAACGGGGUGUCAGUAGGCUUCUUUUCCAUCUCUAAGGGGCUGCGUCAAGGAGAUCCCAUUUCUCCUUACCUUUUUGUUUUGGGUAUGGAAGUGCUGAGUGCACUCAUAAGAAGGGCUGUUGAGGGGGGCUUCAUUUCUGGUUGCAGACUUCGAGGGAGAGGGGGGAUGGAGAUGAAUGUGUCCCACUUACUCUUUGCCGAUGACACAAUCAUCUUUUGUGAAGCAAGGAAGGAGCAUCUAACUCAUCUUGGUUGGAUUUUGGCGUAGUUUGAGGCGGCUUCUAGUUUUAAGAUUAAUCUGGCCAAGAGUGAAUUAAUUCCUGUUGGGGAGGUUGAAGAUAUUGAGGAAAUGGCUGUGGAGUUAGGGUGCAGAGUGGGGGAUUUUCCUGUUAAGUAUUUGGGGCUGUCCUUUGGAGCCCAUCACAAGGCCUUGUCUAUGUGGGAUGGGGUGGAGGAAAGAACGAGGAGAAGAUUAGCUCUUUGGAAAAGGCAUUAUUUGUCUAAGGCCGGGAGAAUUACCCUCAUUAAAAGUACAUUGGCCAAUAUUCCUAUCUACCAAUUGUCCCUUUUCCGAAUGCCCAAGUUAGUGGUAAAAAGGCUUGAAAAAUUACAAAGAGAUUUUCUUUGGGGAGGGGGAAGCCUGGAAAGGAAAAUCCACUUAAUCAAUUGGGAGGCGGUGUGUACUCAAAAGGAGAAAGGGGGUCUUGGCAUUCGGAAGAUUGUUUUAUUGAACAAGGCUUUGCUGGGUAAGUGGAUUUGGAGAUUUGCCUUUGAAAAAGAUUUACUUUGGAAGAAGGUGAUCGGGGUGAAGUAUGGCCAAGAGGGAUGUGGUUAGAGAACUAAUGAAGCUCGUGGUACUUUUGGAGUGGGGGUUUGGAAGGAGAUCCUGAAGGAGGCAAGUUGGUGUUGGGAUAACAUUGAGUUCAAGGCGGGGAGGGGGACUAAGGUCAAGUUCUGGACUGACCAUUGGUGCGGCAACGCAGCACUGUCCCAAAAUUUUCCCCAGCUUUAUGCCAUGAUGGUCUUUAGAAACGCAAUGAUCAAUAAAGUGUGGGAUUCAAGCCUUGGUCAAGGAGGGUGAAAUCUCAGAUUGUAUAGAGAUUCUAAUGAUUGGGAACUGGAUUUAAUAGAAGAGCCGCUUCUUUUGCUAAGGGACUUCAGGAUUUCUUCAGAAGAGGACUCAAUGUUAUAGAAAGGAGGGGGUCUUGAUAUUUUUCGGAUUCGGGACGUUUAUAAUUUGCUGGCUGCCCCUAAUCCCCUUGUCUUUCCGAAAAAGAGCAUUUGGGUGGAUAAGGUUCCAACCAAAGUUGCUUUCUUUGCGUGGGAGCUACUUGGGAAAAAAUCCUUAUGUUGGACAGGCUUCAAAAUCGAGGGUGGUAGUUCCCUAAUCGUUGUUAUUUGUGUGGUUGUGAAGAGGAAAAUGUAAAUCACAUUCUUUUACACUGUACAGUGGUCAGGGUCCUCUGGGAGAUCGUCCUUGCCUUGUUUGGGGUUCAGUAGGUGUUCCUAGAGACAGUUAAAGAGGUGUUAUUUUGUUGGAGGGACCCUUUUGUGGGUAAAAAGAGGAAAAAGAUUUGGAAUUCCAUCCCGUUGUGUAUUUUUUGGACGGUUUGGAAGGAAAAAAAUAGGUUAGCUUUUAGAGGGGAUUCGUUAGCUAUUCAGACACUCAAGAAUUUUUUUGUAUGUAGUUUGUGGAGUUGGGCUAGGGUAUAUGAGAGAUGAGUCCUCUUCACUUUUAGGCUUCUUGGAGUGGUUAGCGGCUCCUUAAGGGCUGGUGAGGUUGUUCUGUUUAUGUGUUUUUUGCUUUGUGGCUGCUUUGUAUACUCCCUGUAUGCUUUGUGGCCUUUCGACCUUUUUUAAUAUAUUUUGUGUUCAUCUAUAAAAAAAAAAUAAAAAAUUUCCGCAUGAUUCUAGCCUUAUAAAUGUAAACUAUAAUCUGUCAAAUAAUGUAUGAUAACUGUACAGAAUAAUAAAUGGAGAAAUAAGGAAACAAUUAUGGGCUAAAAUAAGGAAAGAAGUGUGGGCUAAAAUAAGGAAAGAAAUGUGGACAGCAAAGUUGUCCUUUGACAGCCCCCCUCAAAUUGAUGCAAGUUGAUCAACAAGCAUCAAUUUGCUACUUAGCAAGCAAUGUCGAUGACGAGGGAGAGCCUUGGUAAAGAUAUCAACAAUUUGUAAGUCAGUGGAAAUGUGUGGAAGAGUGAUGACACGAGCUUCAAAGGCUUCACGGAUAGAGUGAUAGUUCACUUCAAUAUGCUUUGUGCGCUCAUGAUAGACAGGAUUGGUCGUGAUUUGAAUAGCACUUGUAUUAUCGACAUGUAGAGGUGUAGGAUCGGUCUCAGAAAAAUCUAACUCCGCAAGCAAACCUCGAAGCCAAAUGAUUUCAGAACAAGCAAGAGACAUCGCCCGGUACUCAGAUUCCAUAGAUGAUUUAGAGACUUUGUCUUGCUUUUUACUUUUCCAAGAGAUCAAUGCAUCACCUAAGAACACAUACCAACCAGUGAUGGAGCGAUGGGUAUCCGCACAACCAACUCAAUCAGCAUCACUAUAAGCAGCAAGGCGAGUAGAAUUGCCUGCAGGGAAGAACGAGCCACGAGUAGAAGUGCCUUGAACAUAGCGCAUGAUCCUAUGGACAACAGCCAAAUGAAGAUGACGAGGAGUCUGAAGGAAUUGACUGACUUGCUCUACAAAAAAAGAAAUGUUUGGUCUAGUAAUGGUGAGAUAAACAAGGCUACCCACCAACUUCCUGUAUAAACUGGGAUCAGCAAGUAAGUCGCCCUCCUCUUUGCGAAGCUUGACAUUUAAUUCCAUAGGAGUAUCAACAGAAGUAGCCCCUUGUAGACCAGCUGUAGCCACCAAGUCACUCGCAUACUUAUGUUGAUUGAGGGAAAUACUAGAGGGACUAUGAUGCACCUCAAGACCAAGAAAAUAUGUGAGAGACCCAAGAUCUUUCAUAUGAAAGGACUCGGAGAGAUGUGUUUUGAGCUGACCAAGUAAAGCAAAAUCGGAACCAGUGAUCACAAUAUCAUCAACAUAAACCAAAAGAACAACAAUACCCAUGUCUGAUUUCCGAAGAAACAAGGAAGUGUCAUACUUGCUCUGCCUGAAUGAAAAUUGUAAUAAAAUGGUGCCGAAUUUAUCAAAUCAGACCCUCGGAGCUUGUUUGAGACCAUAAAGAGAGCGACGAAGCUUACACACAUGUGAAGUUGGAGAGGAAAACAAUCUCAGGGGUGACUUCAUAUAAAUACACUCUUUAAGAUCCCCAUGAAGAAAAACAUUUUUUACAUCCAUCUGAUGUAGUAGUGGCCAAUCAUUGGAAGCAGCAAGAGCUAGAAUCAUACGAACAGUAGUCAUUUUAGCCACAGGAGCAAAGGUCUCUUCAUAAUUGAUACCAUAUUCCUGAUUAUUCCCAAGUGCAACAAGCCGAGCUUUGUAACGAUCCAAACUUCCAUCAGAUCGGACCUUGACUGAGUAAACCUAUUUGCAACCCAGAGGAACAAUAGUGGGAGGAAAGGGCUCAAUGUCCCAAGUGUGAUUGGCCUCUAGAGCGGCAAUUUCUUCCUGCAUAGCUUGUCACCAACAAUCAUGCUUGGCAGCAUGUGGGAAUAUCAAAAUUGGACAAUGUAGCAGUAAGAGUUGAAAUAGAAUUUCCAGAACUGGAAGAGGGAAAUCCAUACCUAUUCGGAGGUACAGACACUCGAGGAGAGCGACGUACUAAAGAUGCUGGAGGUGCUGCAACUGACUGAAUUUGGAGUGUGGUAAGAUUAGAUAUCGGGUGAGCCACUGAAAGAGACUGUGGGCGGGAGUGUCUCAUAUACACAAUACCUGGUUGAAAGCGAGAAUUGACUGGAUGAAGAUCUGAGAACUGUUGCUCAAAGGAGGGGAGAACCAUAGUAGAAGAGGAUGACACAGUAGAAGAGGAUACAUGAAAGAAAUGUUGAUUUUCAAAGAAAAUAACAUUCCUAGAAAUACGUGUACGAUGUAAUGUAGGAUCAUAGCAAACAAAUCCCUUUUGACACAUAUUAUAUCCCAACAAAGCACAUCGAACAGAUUGAGUAGAUAAUUUAUGUCGCUCAUGAGGAGGUAAAUGAACAAAGCAUACACAACAAAAAAUACAAAGGUAAUCAUAACUAGGUUGCUUAGCAAAUAAGCGGAAAUAGGGAGACUCCAUAUCUAGGACUUGAGAAGGUAAACGAUUAAUCAAGUGAGUAGCAGUUUUCAGAGCCUCUACCCAAAACAUGGAUGGAACAGAAGAUUCUAACAAGAGAGUACGUAUCACAUCUAGGAGAUGACGAUUUUUACGUUUGACAACUCUAUUUUGUUGAGGAGUAGAGGGACAUGAACGUUGAUGAAUAAUACCCUUAGAAGCCAAUAAUGCUUGAAACUCAAUAGACAAAUACUCACCACCGGAAUCUUUGUGUAAUGUCUUAAUAGAAGUAGAAAAUUGAUUGUCAACAUACGCUAAAAACUCAGUGAAAGUACGAAAGACCUCAAAUUUAGAGCGAAGAAAGUAGACCCAAGUAAAUCUGCUAUGAUCAUCAAUGAAAGUCACAUAAUAUUUAAAUUUCUCAUGUGAACUAACCGAGGAAGGUCCCCAAACAUCACUAUGGAUAAGAUCAAAGCAGUGAGAUGCUCUACUUGCAUGCAAAGGGAAGGGAAGAGUUUUACUUUUACCAAGUUUGCAAGAAUCACACUCAAGAGAUAAAGAAGAACGAUCCUUAUUACCAGGUAAAUCAGAGUUCAAUACAUGAGAUAAGAUCUGAGUAUUGGGAUGACCUAAACGACGAUGCCACACCAUACUAAGAUUUGAAACAUUAUUACAAGCAAAAGACUUAAUAGAAGAAAGUGGAGAAAAAUCUGGAACAGGUAAAAAUAGUGGAAACAAGCGCCCCACUUUAGGCCCUUCGUGAUUGGCUCCCCUGUUACCUGGUCCUGCACAACACAACCAUUACUAGAAAAAUUAACAGCACAAUUGUUAUCAACUAAUUGGCCAACAAAAAUAAGAUUUGUGGAAAGUUGAGGAGCAAGAAACACAUUAGUGAACUUAGAAGAGGCAUCAUCGAUAGCAGCUAUGGGCAAAGAGCUGCCAUUGGCAGUUUGAAUGGAAGAUUGACCAGCGUAGGGCCGAACAUGACACAAAGCGGUGGGAUUAUUAGUCAUGUGAUUAGAGGCCCCCGAGUCCACGUACCAGAGUUUAGUAGAAUUGUUACCUUGGAACCCCAUUGCUGACAAUGCUGAAAUUAACAUUCGUUGCACCAUUUCUAGGGUGCAGUAAUUUGGUGCAGGAACAGAGCACGCAACUGAAGGAGAGUCGUGUGCUGCAGAAGUUGCUACAAGAGGGACAAUAAUCGAAGUCUGAAAUGCUUGGGCCUGACGAUUCUGGGGGUGAAUACGACAUUCUUUGAUAAUGUGACCCUUCUUCUUGCAAUAAGAACAAAACUUCUUAGGACAAGUAGCAGCAAUAUGCCCAUAUUCCUUGCAGCAAAAACACUGCAAGUUUUUAGAAUGCAUAGGUGGUCCGCGUCCUUAGGCAGCAUAAGCUACGGUUGCCAUCCUGGAACUGCCAUGAGAUUGCUCCAGAAUAGCUUGAGUACUAAGGCGUUGCUCUUCGCGAAGUAACUCACCAAAACAAAUAUCAAGAGAGGGAACAAGAGAUCUGUUCAGUAAAGAGGAGCGGUUAGAUUCAUAUUCCGGAUGUAGUUUCAUAAGAAACUGAUCACACCGGGUAGUCGCGUGAAUAGUCUGAAUAGUUGAGAGAACGGCAAUAGGAACAUCCGUUGUAGCCAAAUCAACAUAUUCAUGCCAAAGAGUCAAAAAUGCCGAGUAGUAGUCCUGGAUGGAAAGACUACCAUGUUGAAACAUGGCAAUCGCAUGUUCUAAUUGAAAGCGACGAGCAUCGUUAUCCUAAUUAUAAACUUUCUUCAAGUAAGCCCACAUAGAGUGAGCGGAGCAAUGGGGCCGUAAGUGGGUGACAAUAUGAGGCUCCACUGAACCAAGAAGCUAAGACAUGAUGCGUGCAUCAAGCACAACCCAUGAAGGAGAAGACCCAACAUCUUGAGAUUUGUCAAAAGUGGAUGGUUUUGCAACAUCCGUGCCAUCAAUAUGGCCCCAAAGGUCUUUUCCCUUGAGAAAAAGUUCAAACUGAAAUGCCCAGGUAGAAUAAUUUGUGCCUGUAAACUUAACACACACAAGUGCGAAAUCCAUAAAAAAUAAAUAGAACUCGAGACAAAAGGGUGGACCACAAAAAAAUAAAAAUCCCAGAAGAAAACUGACCCACGACAAUCACAGAAAUACCGAGAAAAAUGGUUGUGGUUGGGUGCAGCACGAAUCAACACAGACUUGACCGAAAGACACGAGAGGCUCCUCCGAAACCGAGAAGACAGAACAUAAUUUGAGGGAAGAAAAAUUAGCAACCUUGCUUUGAUACCAUGUCAAAAUAUUGUGUGAAUGGCCGAAUACCUUGGCCUUGAGUUUUGUAUAUUAUAUAUAGACUUUACAAGGAUGUUAUACAUGGAAAGCAAAUAAAAGCAAAUAAAUUCCCGCAUGAUUCUAGCCCUAUACAUGUAAACUAUAAUAUGUCAAAUAAUGUAUGCUAACUGUACAGAAUAAUAAAUGGAGAAAUAAGGAAACAAUUAUGGGCUAAAAUAAGAAAAGAAGUGUGGACAGCAAAACUGUCUUUUGACAUGAAUAUAUCUAUUACUAUCCAAAAGUCUCAGGAAAUCCAAAAAUUCUAUGUAGAUAAGACUAUUAUCAUCAUCACUAUCCAUUCUAUCCAUUGCAGUUGCAAACCAUAUUAUUUGAAAACUAUGUUAUGAUAAUGAGUACAAAUCAGAUGCUCCUUUCAGCUCAAGCUUGUUAAUCAGUUGGGUUAGGCAUAUGUAUGCUUGGUGGUUUGAUACACACAAACAUAAGAAUGAACUGAAACAAUCUGCAGAUAAUGUCAGGUGUCCCUUUUCUUCUUGCUGCCAGUUCUUAUGGUUUGAAUCAGGUUUAAUUUUCCUUCAUUAAUGGUCAUUUCCGUUGUCAUUACCAUUCAUUUAUUCAUUUAUCCUGCUUAUUCUCUUUGAUUGUCUUGUACUUAAAAUCAACCAUGGUUUGGCUAUUAUGCUUUUAGAUGUAUCGGGUCCUUUGAUUGUGAGUUUUUUCUUUUGAUGGUAAUCUUGUUACAGUGUCAAAUAUGUGUAGAUUGAUGGACUUCUAGCUUUACUUGUGGAGGAGGCAUCCCAGGCUGAAAGAUGUGGUCGUCCCUUUCCUUUAACCAUCGUUUUUGUUGAGAGGAAGGUAUUUCUGAUGUCUGUAUACAUUUGGUCUACCUGUUUUAUACUCUGUAAAUUUUAAUAUGCUGGUUAUAACUUUAAGCAUCUUGUGUGAUAAUUUCCUUCUGUAGAAUCCAUCCAUACCAACCUUUUUUUCCUUAGUCUAAACACAGGCACCUAGAUGCGCCCAUUUAUUUGUCAACUAUACUGGCAUUUAAAAAAUUUCUAGAUUGAUCUACCAGCUUUUCAUUGCCAAUUCUGAGUGCCCUCUUUUUAAUGUUAUGGCUUAGUCCAGAUUAUAUCUUCUGAACAUCUUUGCAUGAAUUUACCAUCGAAGUGCAAAAUGUUCAUAACAUAAUAAAAUUGUUGCAGAUGAUCAAAGAUAUGUUGGAACAGCAACACAAUGUGACGAUCUUAACUAACCAUCACAUGUAGGGUAUUGUAUUUCUUGAAGUUGAGUUGGAAAAUUUAGUGUUUUAAGAAAGUUUGUCAUUCUUUACUUAGGAAAUGCUGCCUAGAUGCAUGAUUUUUUUGCUAGGGGCAGAAAACGUGGUUAAUAUGGUGCAAGUUUUUUCUUCCUUUGAUCUAUGUUUGUGUAUUUUUUCUUUGGCAUGGUUCGGUUUGAUGUCAGUUCUAUAGUACUAGAUGAAGAGUACAAAUGAUUUUGUUAUCUUAUAUGUUUGUAUGUGUGUAUGGUUUUCCUCUAAUAUAUGAGGUCUUAGCAUGGUUCUCUAAUAACAAGGCAUGGUUUGAUGUCAGUGCUAUGGUGCUUGAUGAAGAGUACAAUUUAUAUAUGUAUACAUAUUUUAUCUGAUUUUUUUUUUCUUUCAUUCAUAUAUAAACUGGCUCUAUUUUUAUAGUGUUUAAAGGAUAACUGUUGGUGUUGUUACUUUACUAAACUUUAGGAGACAUUUUUAGUACUUGAAUUUGGGUAUGUAUACAGACAAGGUGCGAUGAAGUCGCGGAAGCUUUGGUAGCUCAAGGUCUGCGUGCAGUUGCUCUUCAUGGUGGCCGCAGUCAAGCUGAAAGAGAGGCUGCCCUUCGUGAUUUUAGGAAUGGUGCUACUAAUAUCUUGGUAUGCCUGUGUAUAUCCUCAAAUAGUAUUGAUGAUUGCAUUUUUAAUGGGCUUGUUCAGCGUGUUGUGACUGAUGAUGAUGCAUAGUGUGUAAUGAAAAUUGUGUCCAACUCCCCCUUUUGGCAUGGUGGUCUCACUCACAAUGGUGGAUAUCUACUUUUGCAUGCUAUAAAAUGGUGCCACUCAGUUUUCUUGGCAUGGUCUAUGUUGAGAGAGAGAGAGAGAGAGGAGAAAAACCUUAUUCUCAUUCAUUGUAAUCUCUACUUACAAUUGAGAGAUAUAUAUAUACAAGGCUAGGAGUCCUAACUACCAUACAUGUGACCUAUAUUAACAAGGAAAGAUAGUAUACUAUGCAAUACAUACAUUAUAUUCAACAUUCCCCCUCAAGCUGGAGCAUAUACGUCAUAUGCACCAAGCUUGUUACAAAUAUAUUUAAUCCUAGGACCUCUGAGAGAUUUAGUGAAGAUGUCUGCUAGUUGAUCAUUUGAAUUGACAAAACUUGUAGCAACACAUCCUGAUGCGAUCUUCUCUCUAAUGAAAUGACAGUCAACUUCAAUAUGCUUGGUCCUUUCAUGAAAGACUGGAUUGGAUGCAAUAUGUAAUGCGGCCUGGUUAUCACAGAUGAGUUCCAUCUGUUCAUCCUUUCCAAAUCUCAACUCCUGAAGAAGAUGUCUCAACCAUAUGAGUUCACAUGUUGCCAAAGCCAUAGCUCGAUACUCGGCUUCAGCGCUAGAUCUGGCCACUACAUCUUGUUUCUUACUCUUCCAAGAUAUUAGAUUACCUCCAAUAAAAACACAGUACCCUGAAGUGGAACGUCUAUCUGUGGGUGAGCCAGCCCAAUCUGCAUCUGUGUAACCAACAACUUGAGUAUGACCUCUGUUCUCGUACAAUACACCUUGGCCUGGUGUACUUUUGAUAUAUCGAAGGAUACGGAUUACGGCAUCCCAAUGGCUAUCACAUGGUGACUGUAGGAAUUGACUAACAACACUCACAGGAAAAGAAAUGUCUGGACGAGUAAUGGUGAGAUAGUUCAAUUUACCUACGAGCCGUCGAUAUCUCCCGGGGUCUCCUAAAGGCUCCCCCUGUCCUGGUACAAGUUUGACAUUCGGAUCCAUAGGUGUGUCUACCGGUUUACAGUCUAACAUACCGGUUUCUUCCAGGAUGUCUAAAGCAUACUUCCUUUGGGAAAGGACCACACCAGAACUAGAUUGAGCUAUCUCAAUUCCCAAGAAAUACUUGAGUUUCCCCAAGUCUUUGGUCUGAAAGUGGGUAAAAAGAUGUUGCUUUAGUUUCUGAAUACCAUCCUGAUCACUGCCUGUAAUGACGAUGUCGUCCACAUAAACAACCAGAUAAAUACACUGCCCCAAGGAGUUAUGAUGAUAAAAAACUGAAUGGUCUGCUGUACUGCGAAGCAUGCCAAACUCUUGAACAACAGAACUAAAACGGCUAAACCAUGCUCGAGGAGAUUGUUUCAAGCCAUAUAGAGAACGGCGUAACCUGCACACUAAACCAGACUCCCCCUGAGCAACAAAACCAGGAGGUUGCUCCAUAUAAACUUCCUCGGCAAGAUCACCAUGAAGGAAGACAUUUUUAAUAUCCAACUGAUAAAGAGGCCAAGAACACAUAGCAGCCAUGGAGAGAAGCAAGCGGACAGAAGCAAUCUUGGCAACAGGGGAGAAUGUGUCACCAUAAUCAGAACCAUAAACUUGAGUAUAGCCUUUAGCAACUAAACGGGCCUUAAGGCGAUCAACUUGACCAUCAGGACCAACCUUAACUGCAUAGACCCAACGACAACCAACUGUAGAUUUACCAGAGGGUAAAACAACAAGAUCCCAAGUGCCAUUAGAGUGCAGAGCAGCCAUUUCAUCCACCAUUGCCUGUCGCCAGCCUGGAUGGGAAAGAGCUUCAUGGGUGCUCUUUGGAAGAGAAACAGAGAAUAUAGCAGAAACAAAAGCAUAAUAGGGUGAAGAUAAUCGAUGAUAACUCAAAAAAUUGUAAAUAGGAUGAGGAUUACGAGUAGAGCGAGUACCUUUCCGAACAGCAAUAGGUAAGUCAUUAGGAGAAGGCAGAGCCGGGGCAGGUGAAGCCGAAGGGAUAGGAAGUGAGUCAGCAGGUGCCUCAGGAAAAGGGAGAGGAGCAACGACACGAGGGCAACGAUGAUAAACCUGAAGUGGUCGAGGGGGCAUAGCAUCAGGUGGGGAGACAAUGGGAAUGGGCAAGACUUCAGAAACAGGAAGAGACUCAGAAGUGGUGGAAAAGAAUGGUGAGUCCUCAAAGAAGGUGACAUCAGCGGAGAUAAAGUACCGAUGAGUCUCAAGGGAAUAACAACGAUAACCCUUUUGAAGUCUGGAAUAUCCCAAGAAGAGGCACUUCAUGGCUUUGGCGGAAAGCUUGUCCUGUCCAGGAGUGAGAAUAUGAACAAAGCAAGUACAACCAAAGACACGAGGAGGAAGGAAAUAAAGUGGUUGGUCAGGGAAAAGAAGGGAGUGAGGAAUCUGAUCGUGUAAGACAGAGGAGGGCAUACGAUUAAUCAAAUAACAAGCGGUAAGAACAGUGUCCUCCCAAAAGCGAAAAGGAACAUGACUAUGGAGGAGGAGAGUACGAGUUGUCUCAACAAGAUGUCGAUUCUUGCGUUCAGCUACCCCAUUUUGUUGAGGAGUAUGAGCACAAGAAGACUGAUGAAGAAUCCCAUGAUGAGACAUAAACGAAGUAAAUUGGGCUGAAAAAUAUUCCCUGGCAUUGUCACUGCGUAACACACGAAUAGAAAUAUUGAACUGGGUUUGGAUUUCAGUAUAAAAUUUCUGGAAAAUAGAGAAUAACUCAGCUCGAUUUUUCAUUAAAAAUAACCAAGUACAUCGAGAAUAGUCAUCAAUGAAAGUGACAAAAUACUGAAAUCCUAAAGUAGACGUAGUCCGACAAGGACCCCAAACAUCAGUGUGGACAAGCUCAAAAGGAGACUUUGCCCGAUUAUUCAAACGCUUUGGGAACGAAACACGAGUAUGUUUCCCAAGCUGACAUGACUCACACGGAAGCGACGACAAAGUUGAAAAACGAGGAACCAUCUUCUGGAACUUGGAGAGACUAGGGUGGCCCAGACGAUUGUGAAUGAGGAGAGGAGCAUCAGUGGAAAUGCAAACUGCAGGAGAUGAAUCUGAGGUGAGGUGAUAGAGGCCUUGAGACUCACGUCCUAUGCCAAUCGUCUUCCCCGUACUCCGGUCCUGCAAGGUCACAAAUUUAUCAGAAAAGGUAAUAGAGCAAUUAAGAGUACGAGUGAUUUUGCUGAUGGAAAUAAGAUUAAAAGGACAUUCAGGAGUAUAAAGGACAGAAGUGAGAGGUAGAGAAGGCAGAGGAAGGGCCAAACCAAUACCUUUAGCCACAGUUUGAGAACCAUUAGCUAAGGUAACAGUAGGUAAAUCAGAGGUAGUAGUAAUAAAGGAGAAAAGAUCCUUAUUACCAGAUAGGUGAUCAGAUGCUCCAGAAUCUAGAAUCCAGGGUCCAAGAGAAGAUGUGUGGGUAAGGCAGGCAGAGGCAUUACCAGGCUGGGCAACAGAGGCAAUAGAAGCCUGAGAUGUCUGAGAUGCGGAGGAGCUCGGAGGCUGAGGCAGCGGAGAAUCAGAGGACUGGGCCAUAUGGGCAGUGCGAGGAGGUCUUCCAUGUAACUGAUAGCAACGAUCGCGAGUGUGGCCAAGUUUAUUGCAAUAGGUGCAAUGAGGACGUUGGCCUCUACCUCGGGUACCACUGCGUCCUCCUCGAGAGGUAGUUUGAGAAACUAACACAGAAGAAUCUGAAGCGCUAUCAGAUGGCAAAGUCUGAGUGGACGAGAUACGGAGGAGGCGAGCAAACACAUCAUCCAAGGACGGAACUGAUGAACUACCAAGAAUCUGAUCACGAAUAGGCUCAAGAUCUGGACGGAGGCCAAUAAGAGUAAGGACCAUGAAGAACUUGUCAAGCUGUGUUUGUUGAGCCCCAACAUCAGGAGUAAGAGGCAUCACAGUCAAGAACUGCUCCUUAAGAGAGGCAAUCUGACCAAUAUAAGUAGAUAGAUCCAAGUCCUGUUGGCUGAGAUGGACAAUAGCAGAAGCCACCUUAUAAAGACGCUGGAUAUCAUUCGUGUAUAAUCCUUUGGCCUGAGUCCAAAAUUUAAAACAAGUUUUAUAGGCCUGAAGAUGAAGAAGAAUCCGGGGAUCAACCGAUUGCCAUAAUACACUACACAACUGUGCAUCUAUCUUCCUCCACUGUGCGCGGUCAACCUCAGGGAUAUCUGCCUCCUGGGUAACCAAGUGAUCCUCAUAUCCUUGACCCAUAAACCAAAGUUCAACAGAGGCAGACCAGGAGAGAUAAUUCUCACUGCCAACCAAUUUCUCUGAGGUAAUCAGAGGAGAUCCAGCGAGAACAGACGUAAAGAUCUGAUUUUUGGUGGUCAUAUUCACGUAUUUGGAUCGAAGAGAGCCCUAAGAUGGGUUCAGAUGGCUGUGAGAGGUGCAAUCAAUGGAGAAAAAAGGUCGUGACGUGCCUAGAGAGGAAGAGAAGCAGCAACCAAGCCUCGGGGAUGGAGGGGGAGCCCUGUCGGAGGUGGCCGGAAUGGCAAGAAAGCCAAAAACAGGGAAAAAAUGGAGAUGCAGGGCUCGAGGAGGACUGCCGGAGGGCUAGAAGGCCAAGACGGCGCCGGACGAGCCUGGAGAGGUGUCGGAAGUGGCCGGAAAGUGAGCCACGCGCCGUCACGCGCCGGCGCGUGGGUGACAGGCCGGAGGAGAAGGGCGGCGCGUGAGAUGCCGGUUGCCGGUGGGGUUUCCACUGGCAUGUAGAUCAGCCUCCGGCGGUUCGGAAUAUGUGGUCUUUUCCCGGAAAAAAGGUCGCCGGAAAAGGUUGCCGGCGUGGUGGAGAUCCGACGGCGAUGAGGUUGUCCGGGGUGGUUCGGAAAGAGAGUGAGGGGACCGGAGUGAAAACACGGUCACUCGACGGUUCGCCGGAAUUGAGUACACGGCUAAACCGAAAAAAUUAGGUUUUCUCCUUUGGCUCUGAUACCAUGUUGAGAGAGAGAGAGAGAGAGGAGAAAAACCUUAUUCUCAUUCAUUGUAAUCUCUACUUACAAUUGAGAGAUAUAUAUAUACAAGGCUAGGAGUCCUAACUACCAUACAUGUGACCUAUAUUAACAAGGAAAGAUAGUAUACUAUGCAAUACAUACAUUAUAUUCAACAGUCUAAUUUGCCUUAUUGUUUUAGUGAGUUUCAGGUCUUUUGGUCCAGUUCUUUGUUUGUUCUUUCUUUUAUUGAUCAUUAAGUUUAGAUUUAUCAAUUUAGAGAAUGGGCUUUAUAAUGAGGACGACAAAUUUAUAUGAAUGCUGAAUUUUGUUUUUCAAUAUUAUUAGCUUUAUGCAGAGAAUUAUGUGAGGCCAUUGACCUCAUAUUCAUUUCACACUUCUUUCCCAUUCUCUCUGAUUUUCGUCAUUUAGUUUGUAUUUCUUCUUCUGGAUUUCUAACAUGAUUUCUUACUUGAUUUGAUUCAGAAUCAGGAUGGUUCUUGACCCCAUACUUAUCUGUGUAGCUUAUUUUUAAACCUUUCUAUGCAGGUUGCCACUGAUGUUGCGUCCCGUGGUCUGGAUGUUACAGGAGUCGCCCAUGUUAUUAAUCUCGAUCUUCCAAAGGUAUUUAUGGCUUCAAGUGAAAGUUUUUGCUUACCGAGUUCACCUAAAACCUACUAACAAGUCUUGGAUGUUCCUAAAAGAUUUUGGAGUUCUUGCUGGUCUGACUUGUCAUUAUAGUAAUUCAAUGGUGUUGUUAUUUGGAAAGAAUAUUUUGUAGGUAGUAAUCUUCUUGAAUAUGAAGGGCAAUAUACAAUAUAAAAUAAGCUUAUGGUUGUUGACUCUUUAUGCAACUCAUUUGCCUGCUCCUUUCUGUCACUAUUAAUUUGCUUAUAAAAAAUAGCAAGCUUAAAGCUUAAGUUCUGCAUGCCUCAAUUAUAGGCAAUGGAAAAUUAUGUACACCGGAUUGGAAGGACGGGGCGUGCAGGAUCAACAGGCCAAGCUACUUCUUUUUAUACUGAUCGUGAUGUGGUAUCUUCUUACUCCACCUUUUCCUUGUACUUUAUUUCGGUUUUCCCUUCAGUAGUUCUGUUAAUAGAUACUGACUCAUCUUCUUCAAUCACAUUGUGUAGUUCCUUGUGGCUCAUAUAAGGAAAGCAAUUGCUGAUGUUGGAUCUGGGAAUACUGUGGCAUUUGCAACUGGGAAAGUAUGGUUUUCCCCUAUAAGUUGCAUUUCAAAAUCCAUGUGUUUCUUUUGCUUCACAUUUACCAUGUUUCCCCCCUUUUUCUGCACAUUGUUUUUCUAUACUUUUAACAGCUUUUUGUUAACUCAUGGGAGGAUAAGUUAGGUUAAAUUUCUAGAUUUUUCUUUGAAAGGGUGUUUCACUUUCAGUGUUUUCCCUUCUUUCCAUGACUUUGUAAAUCUGAUAUCACUAUUGACUUCUAGGUUGCAAGAAAGAAGGAGAGAGAAGCAGCAGCUGCACAGAAAGAAGCUAGGAUUGCAUUGUCCAAUCUCUCAUUGAUGGGGCCGACAUCAUUAAAUAUAGAGGAAAAGUAUAGGUUCAUGAUGAGCCCCUCGAGCAUCAAGACAGAAGGUGCAGCAGAUGAUGCUUGGGAUGACUGAUAUAAAAAGGUCUCCCAUUUGGUACUUCUUGUUACAAAAGAUGGCUAAUGAUCCUAUGUCUUAAGUAUCCAAGAUAGCAAGGUCCGGAACAUCUUUUUGUUUGCGAAGUUAGUUUUUUCUAGUUUGACACAUUCAUGCCCUUGUGCCUGCCUGUGGUUUGCAUGACAUUGCCUCGUUAUAUUGAUGAGGGUAAUAUGCAUAUUUGUAGGUGUUGCUUGGGGUACAAGGUGAUGUCAAUGAUGAUGAACUUUUUGUAAGUUUGUUUUUACACAAUUAAUGUAGUUAGCUCAUGUAACUGGGACUGGUUAUUACUUAAUAGAUGUUUUUAAAGUUUGUAGGACUGGUUAUUAUUAUCAGCAUGUUUCACAAAUUGCAGUUAGUUUUCUUAAAGUCUUGUGCAUUGCCAAGAAAUGGUUUGAGAGUCGAUCACUUAAAAUCUUUCAAUUUGGUGUCAAUACACAUUAAUUUGGUUCUGGGGGAAUCGCUUUGAUGCUGGCUGAACAGCCGAAAGGUGAUGAAGAAAAGCCUAUUCAGACACACGCGAUGCCGGGGUGGGGGUGGGGAGGCGUGUUGGCAAUGCCGAGAAUUUAUUCAGAUUAGCAAGCUCAGGCGCAACAUUUACAAGCCAUGGUGUUCAUGUGGAGGUUUGGGGUUGAGUUUGGCUUUGGUCUUGAUAUUCAGCUCAGGUUGAGCUCGUAAAUCUGGCACGGAUGCAGAGGAAGGUUAACCUUUAUGCUUGUUUUAAGCAACGACUGAACUGGGAAAAAGAAAAUUUAUGAUAUUUGGUCGAUUUAAUGCCAAUUGAGAAUUAAGAAGAGCUUGUGUUUCAUGGUUUUGAAGGGAAAAAGAGAUCUGUGCCACAAAUGGACUUUUGAAUAUGAGAUGCAUGAACCUCGAAAGGCUAAUUCUUAUUUCACCUAUUUAAUCAAGGGAUUAAGUACUCUUGUUGGGAGUUGGGACGCUACUGGUAAAUUCAAUCUUUUCACUGUAACCAUUCUCUAAUUUUAAGAAAUUGCUUCGUUUCUUUUUUAAUUAUAAAUGUAGAAGUACCCAUCUUAACAACAAGCGCCUGUAGCUCAGUGGAUAGAGCGUCUGUUUCCUAAGCAGAAGGUCAUAGGUUCGACCCCUAUCUGGCGCGUUUUAUUUUAUUUUUUCCAUAUAUUGCUUCGCCGUGAGAUUAGCUCAUUACUUUUGGUUUUUGGGUUCCAAAGCAACUUUUUAGUACAUUAUAAGAUAGUUUGUUACUUUAUACCUUUUAGCAGGUAAAUUCAAAUUAUAAAAACUUAGAGAAAAAAACUAAUAAUAAUAUUACUUUUUUAGAGAAAAAAAACUUAACAGACCAUUUUUUCAAAGAUAGAAAAUAUUUAAGAAUUUAUGCUAUACUUAAUUUUAAAAAAGUAUAUAAAGAAAGGAAUGAAAUAUUAAGGAUUUUUUUUCGAUUUAUUAUAAAAAAGGAAAAGAAAAAAUGUAAUUAAAAUUUUAUAUAAUUUUAAAUUAUUUAAUUUUUUCCUAGAAGAAGAAAUUUAAAUAAAUAUAUAAAAAUAAUUUAUUAACUUAAAUUUAUUUAUUUUUAUUUUUUUUUUCUAUUUUUUUUUCUCACUUUCUCGUCGUCCCCCCACCUCAAAUUCUACCGUAACCAAACACAAGGUGUGAUUUAGGACUUUUCUUUUACCUUUCAAAAGUCAAUUUAAAUUGACCAUUCCCAGGAUUGCCAACUGCCAUUACUCUUCCUUUCUUUACUUUAAAAAUUUUUGAACUCUGAUUUCUAAGAUCGUCUUUGUUUCUUUCAAGCCUUAGGAACCACAAUAAAGGCUUUAAAUUCACAUCUUCCUUUAUUUUAACUCACACCCACAGAGGGUCAAGCACAUUGAAAGCCUCGACUAACUGAGCUGAGGCAGAAGAUAAUUUAUUUCCAGCAUUUCUCCAUCAAUACCUAAAGUUGCCAGCAACUUUUGGGCUCUUCAACCACAAAGCAAUCCAAGUAAGGCCUAUGUGAAACUUCAGGGUAACUUAACCUUCACCAUCCAGACAAUACAUACAUUAUCCAAGCUCACAUACCAGAUUAGGAUGUUAAAACUGCAGGCCGCUUGUGGACUGUAAAAGCUUGGCGAAGCCGAUUGUAGUCAUUCCUGUAAUGUUCAAGGGAGAAACAAAGCUGGCGAAUCGCCUCCCUCUUCUCUUCUGCUGCUUCUGAGACUAAACCCUUUUGCCUCUCAACCUCCUCCUCCAGUUGCUUAGCUUUUGAUCUCAGCUCCUCUACCAGUCUACGUGCAUCUCCAGCUCCAGCGACCAGCUCUGCUUGUUCUAUUCGUAGUUGGUGCAAAUACUUAUCCAUUUGAAUUUUCUGAUCAUCUCUGGAACUUAGUUCAGAGAUAAGUGCAUGAACUCUUGCACUGAGCUCAUCUCUUUCCGACAUUAAAGUGUCAUGUUUCAAGUUUAGUGCGUCUAGGCUUUUAUUCAGGUCGUUGAUGCGAUCACCACUCUCAGCAGUGUCUGCCUUUAACUGCUCGAUUUCGGUCUUCCAUAACUUUUCCUGUUCUUCAAGGCGAGCUUUGGUUUCUCUUUUUUCGGCAUCUACUUGCUUGAUCUCCUCCUCUAAAGACUGGCAGCGUAGUUCCCAUUCUUUUAGCUUCUCCUCCAAAUGAGACUGGUCGUCUAAGAGUUUUGAAAUUUUGGCCAUUAGUAGUGAUUUUUCGAGCUCAAAAUUAUGGUCAGCAUCAGAGAUGACUUCUUUUAAUUCCCUGAUCUCAUGUUCCCGAUCUGAUAAACUAGUUUUGUACCUCCCAACCCUUUCCUGAAGCUUGGAGACCUCCCUUUUCUCUCUAUCGAGCUUGGCUUUCCACAUAGCAAUGUCUUUAUGAGUCAAUUCAAGCUGUUCCUGCAUAUGGCUGAUACUUUCAGAGGAUCCUCUACUUGCAAGUUCAUCUAUCAAAGUUGCAAUUUCUUUCUCUGAACCCUGAAGCCUUUCUUUUGUGAUUCUCAGCUCUUCCACUAGGCUUUGAAUCUUAAGACCAGGGUCUGAGCAAUCCACUUCCAACCCAACAGCCCCUUCUUCAAAUUCUGAUGCUUGUUUUUUUGCAAACUCCAGCUCGGAUUCCUGCAUCUUGAUAUCUCUAGGUGGUAAUUCAACAAGCUCAGCCUGGAAAUUAUUUGUAAAGUUCAAGGGUCCAUAUUUCUGGAGCUCAGUUUUCAACCGAACGAUCUCUUCUUCUGAAAGCUGAAUCUUUUCCUUAGCAGCCCUCAGCUCUUCUUCAUAUCCAGCAAUUUUUCCAAGUAGAUCUUCACAAUUCCCAUUUCCGGUUCCCCUCAAUGACCUGUCUGCAUUCUCUUCCUGUUGCAUCUGUUGCUUUCCUGGCACGCCCAAGUAAUUGUUGACAGAGGAAUCAUCAGAUCCCGACUCGGAAUCCGAUAGUGAAGAUGACUCAUCUCCUUUGUUGUACAGAUCAGAGCUGCUCCCACCUGAGCCGAGGAAGAAAUCAAAACCAGCAGCUCGACGACCAGAUUUACGUCGCCUCUCCCUUUGAUCAGGAGAAGGACAUGUAGAGGCUGGUUCAGAGCCAAGGUCAGAAAUGCCUGAGCCCUGAGAUUGGAGAUCUGAUAGAAUAUUCUUCCUCAGUUCUCCUGUCACAUGGUCAUAACGCUCAGCCAGCGACCUGUAAAUGCGGUAAAAGUCCUCAACGUGAGAGAUCAAUUCAGGUCUCUUCUGAUAAUACAUCUCAGCCUUUUUUGCAAAUGAAUCCCCAUCCUCUUCAAUCAGCUUCAACAUCCGUUUCACACUCUGGUCCAUCUCUGAGGCCAAGUACCCUUUUAUCAGUUUCUAUUCAAAAACUGUUUUAAAAUUUACACAGGGUAAUUGGCAAAACAUUAUUUUGUCUCAACAAUGAGACAAUUAGGAUUAACAACAAAUAUCUAUAGGUUUAUCAGAUUAAUGUGUUGAGCAAGAGCAGUGGCAAAAAUAUCUACCAUUAUCCACUACUUGAUCUUAAAAGUCUUAACACAAACCUUACUUCCGUUAGAACAUCAACAUCAAAACUUAAAGUUGAUAAAAGAUUGGACCUCACAACAAGGUUAUCGGUAUUCCUAGAAAGAACUGUCUACAUUACCCUGUCGAUAUUACAAUGCAUGUCUGAAAUAGUAGGGAAAAUAAAUAUAAUAAAAAAAAAGAUUGAACAACCUGCAGUACUUCAAGAGAAAUGGCUAAGAGAAUGGAUUGAAAUUUAAUUUUAGCACAGAUUGCAAUCCACACAAGACACUAUAAUUAGGUCACUACAAAGUUUGAGGACCAGGACUAUCAAUUCAGGACAUCCAUCAUAAGAUGGUUUAAACCACCUAAUCAAGGAUAUCCAGCUGAUUAAGUCCUAAAUACGAUGGAUCACUAACAUUAAGGAUUAAGCUCAUUUGUAUAUAUUUGCACUUCUACUAUUUCCUAAAAUAUAUGAUGCAUAAGGGGUGGCAUGUGCCCUUCUUAUGAUCUCUUUGUAUAGCAUGCUCUGCAGUCAGGCAUUAGAAAACUAACAAGAAUAAUAACAAAUAGCAGUAUUAGUUGCUCACCCUCAAGAUUAUCAGCGAGCCACUUGGAGUUUUUGGGACUGAUAUGACUAUCCCACCACCAGGAAUGUGAUUUCUUAGAUUCUGUCCUCUUCAGAUUCUUUUGUGACUUAACCUGAAAUAAAAACAAAUAAAAACCACAAUAUCAUACCAGACCUACAAAAUAGCCAACAUGCAUUCAGAUGUUCUUAUUGUGAAAAAAAUUAGGGGCAAGGGAAGCUUUCCAGGGUGUAGUUCAGCAGUAGUGAGACCUUUAACAAUGAUCUGCCCAUUAUUUAAGUGGGAAGCCUUCCAGGGUGUAGUUCAGUGGUAGUGAGACCUCUAACAAUGAUCUCACCAGUAUUUAAGUGGUGCGGAUGGGUGCAUAUCACCCAGGGGGGAUUUGCCUCGCAGGCACUUGGAAUAAAUGCCUCCCUGUUGGGGUGCAUUCUCUGUUCUAAAAUUUAAUAUAACCACAGCCAUAGAGUAAUCAGCAAAUUGUUACCAUCUAAGGUUUAGGAUUUAAGGAUUAGGGUUGUAAGAGAGAAGAAGAUUGCUAGUCAUAUCCUCAUUCACUGUGGGAAAGCAAGAGGACUGUGGCAUCUUUUGUUUUCAUCUUUUGGUAUCUCUAGGAUUCUCCUCAAUUUAGUGAGAAAGGCUCUUUUGUGCUGGCAUGAGAGUUCUUUGGGAAGAGAAGGAAAGUUUGGUGUUAGUUUUGGACCAUAUGGUGGGAAUGUAAUCAUAGAUCCUUUGAUGGUGUGAAGCAUUUGGAUCAGCCACUCAAAACACUCCCUCAAUUAUGCCCUCUUUCAAUUGUCCCUUGACUCCCAUCAGCCUCAACAUGAUAAUCCUUGAUCCUUGUUAGACUUCAUUGACUGGCUGGGCUUCAGGUAGUGUUUUGUUGAUCGUCAAUGCUGUUUUUGUUUCCUUUUGCAGCCCUUUGAAUACCCUGUGUACUUGGGGUGCACCAUUUCCUUCCAUUAGGCGCUUUUAUCAAUAUUGUUCUUACAUGUGCAUCAAAAGAAGUGGUUAAUUUCCCUUUUCCUUCCCCUCUUUCCUUGUUGAAAAGAAAACAAAGCAUAAAGUGAAGGAUGGGUGGAGCAUAAUGUAUUCUUGCUGCAUUAUUGCCACAUGAUGACUGUUCAUGUACUUGUCCUCUAUUGUGAACUUUCCAGGAUAUAGCAACACACAUUCUAUUCAACUAAUAGGUUACACAAAUCCCUGUUUGUUGAUUUAUUGGAUUUCAUACUCUACAUUCAAAUUGUCAAAUCCCAUGGAUUAUUUUCAUUUGUUGGGAUAGUGAAUUCUUGGAUGACCACAAAUUUAUUUGCUCUAUUUAUUUAUAAUUCUAAAUAUACAUACUUUCCCAUGUAAUAAUAGUUUUAGGAUGAGAGCACAAAUCCAAAGAAGCAUUAUCAAAGGUUCAUCCAAAUUGAAUGAGUAACCAAAAUAAUACUUAUGAAAUAUAUGUUGUUUUGCUUUCUUAAUUACAGUCAAGGUAAACAAUUUAAAGUGAGAAAGUGUAUACUAUAAAAAUUUAUGGAAAAUACUUGAGGGAGAUGCAUAAAUAAUUGUAGAAGAAAUGGAAACAAGAGACAGAAGGAGCAUACACAUCCAUAUAUCCCAAUUAGUUCCUUUUCUUACCAAGGAAGAAGCCAUGCUGCUAAGUUGGUGAAGUUUGAGAGUUGAUUUAGAGGGCUGGAUCCAAUAGACUCUCAGAGCUUUAUUUUGCAAUGUAUCUGCAGCUAGGCUUCAAUAACAAUACUCAAUCAGAGGCUAAUAUGCAACAUCAGAACAUCUAUAUUGAGAUUAUAAGUUUAAACUGGAAAAUGAUUUCAAAUGGAAGGUUCAUAAAUGAUGGCCACAUAAUUCAGAAUGGGCUUGUAUAACAUAACUUUUUCAUCUUUGAUGUGCUAGGAAGAACCUAACCCUAAAUGAUUAUUUCAUACUUAACUGAACUACAGAACUUUAAUUUCAGUUUAAGCACAAUGCACGUGAGUUCACAAUUACUAUUCCCACAAACUAUAUGAAAAGCCUGGCAUGGUACCAUCUAGCAUCCUACUAUUUUCAGAACUGUCAAUCUACAAUAAAAAAGAGUGAUUAAAAAUCAUCAAAGAAAGGCCUGAACAAGAAGUUUAAUAUUAUCGAAUCAUCAACUUAUUAUAAGUUAUUGAAAAAAAAUAAACAUUAUAAACAAAAACUGAAAUUGAUAAUAAAACCAUCAUGAAAAAGAAUGGAAAACUUAGAACAACGAGUCGGUUCCAGAGGCAAAACUUACAUUGAUACUUUUGUUGAUAGCAGAUUGAAAAAUGUAAAUCCAAGCUUCUCAGUUUAUAUCGACAAGGGGCUGAUAUCCGUUGAAGAAAGUGGCUGGAUCCUUUUGGAUUGGCGUCAGAAUUAAGUCAAUAACUACAGGUCGCCCAACCAACAACAGAAAGGUGUUAAAAAAAAGGGGGAAAAGAAAUAGGCAAGAAAAAACCACCAACAUGGAGCGUGACCCCACGCGCACAGAAAGCGCGCGGACUUGGCAUUUCUCUGGGGAUUAAUUUCUGCCUGAACCUUGAAAUUAAGACAACUGUCCAGGCGAGAGCUCCAGCUAUAUACACGCGUUUCAAGCACAAAACACCGACCCAAAAAUAAAAAUAAAAGUCAUAUAAAUUCUUGGACACAUGUAGAGAAACCAGAAAAUUGAUGGUAAAAGUGGAUAGAAAAAGAAUCUGUGAGUCUCUUCACCAUUAUACCUUACAAGAAUUGCUUUUGACUCCAGGUUCAAUUUGCAGACAGCGAUUGCGAAUCGCGGAAAAAUAAUCGAUUUCCAACUAAAACAUUCCAAAAAAAAAAAAAACCCAAUGGAGGGGACAUGUAGAACUAAGAAACCAGAAAAAUGAUGGUAAAACCGGUUAAAAAAAAGACUCAACAGUAGUAACAAGAUCAUUCCUGGCAAAAAUUGCUUUAAAUUUAAGUUCAAUUUGCAUAGAACUCGGUUGCGAAUCGUGAAAAACUAUUCGAUUUCCUACUAAAACAUUUCUAAAAAAAAAACAAUUAUUGGAGGACAUAAAAGAAGUAAGAAAAGGGAAAAAUGAUGGUAAAACCGAUUGGAAAAAGAGUCAACAGUCUCCACAAGAUCAUUCCUUGCAAAAACUGCUUUAAAUUUAAGUUAUUUCAGAAGCCUCGAUCGCGAAUCACGGAAAACUAUUCGAUUUUCCACUAAAACAUUCCUUAAAAAAAAGAAGUAAAAAUUCAAUGAUCUGUACUCCGCGAUCCUCCUCCGCACCAAACUUGAACAAAUAUCCAACGAAUAGGAUAAAAUGACGCACAUGACUAAAAUCCGAAGCAGAAAAACAAUCACAUUAUCAGAUUGGAUAUGAAAAUCGAAAAAUCGAAGAGCGUACCUUGAGCUGCCGCAAGAGCUUCAACAACAGCGAGUGUGUGGAGAUGAGAUGGAGAGAAAGGAAGAGGAAAUGGAGGUGGGAAAGAUGAAGUCUGAAUCCGAGUACUGAAGAAUGAAGUCAAAGACUUCCUUGCCUAUUUAUAGAUAAAAGAAACAAACAAAAGUGAGUGACCCCUCACUCUUCUUCUCCCUUUGGCCCUUUUCUCGUGAGUCGUGAAUCAGCUUCGGACCUCUCCUUCUCAACCCCUUUGCAACUUUACCUACUCAAAGGACCGUUUUGCCCUCGAUCCAUACUCUUAUUUCCCAAAAUACCUAAUAUUUCUUUGUUUUAUAAAUGACAAGGUAAAAGCGGGUUGUUUUUAAAAAGCAUAUUUUUGGGGGAAAAUCUUCGUUUAUCGCCUAAGUUUGUAUGCUUUUAUUUUUGAAAACAAAAACCAUUGCAGGCUGCCAAUUCUUACAAGAUCUUUCAAUCUAUUAAGUACUAUCAACUUCAAGCAAUCCCACAUGUAUGGGAAAAUUAAGAGGAUAUAUGGUACAUAAAGUGUCUAACAAGGAGGGUAUGAUCUAAGUCACAAAAAGCACUCAAGUUCCAU
Molecule: long non-coding RNA, 46231 nt
Filed under: Vitis vinifera (wine grape)
Lineage: Eukaryota; Viridiplantae; Streptophyta; Magnoliopsida; Vitales; Vitaceae
Description: long non-coding RNA (VVIN_LNC001785)
Rfam family: Small nucleolar RNA snoR100 (bases 136-248)
Source: RNAcentral